This is a non-coding RNA of Podarcis lilfordi (Lilford's wall lizard), 54511 nucleotides long. NCBI's taxonomy places the organism in Eukaryota, Metazoa, Chordata, Lepidosauria, Squamata, Lacertidae. The record is from the annotation of a GenBank genome assembly.
CCUUAGGCCGGUAAGCUGUUGUGACCGGUCACCCGGUUGCAACGCCACCUACUGGGAAAAGGUGAGUGGGCUUUCCAAUGUACAUUACAAUACAAAUGUCAAAAUGCACACAAUACCCAUUAGCACUGAAUUCAAGUAAACAGGAUUUCUUCACAGGACGUAAACUGGUGAGCCCACUCCUUGUAUGGUCACAGCUUUUAGUGUUCCAUGUUGCAACUCCAAACUCAGAGACAAUUGUCUGACUGUUAACACGGCGCUACACAUUGGGAAACUGUUCCUGUGAAUAUCACAGGGAAGCAGGCAGUGGGGAACAAUACACAAGGCCUGGUAGUAUCUUUUUGAUACUUAAUGGGGAUGUGUAGCUGCACCCAGGGCCAUUAGUUGUUACUCGUGAUGCCUCUUACUACAACGGCAUCAAAAUAAAUGUCUGCUUCAAACAAAAGAGAGACAGCACCGUUUCUGGAUUAUUAUUUUUUUAAAAAAAAUUCAUCACCAUAUCCUGAUUUUUCAUCUACUAAAAGGCUUGAGGGCCAGAGAAUAAGGGUUAUUUUCCACCCAGCAUUUUAGCAGUCUGCAGUCAUGCUAAAGGGACACCUGUCCAGGAAAGCAGGAAGCACAACAUGGAUGAAAUGAUCUCAUACAUUCUCUGUGUAAUACUGGCUCUCCAGGCAGUUAGUGGAAGCUACCGCAUGGAAACAAGUCAUAAGGCCUUUUAGUAGCAGAUUUGAUGGAAAGAACUACUGUAUGUUAAUUUGAAGGCGGGGGACACACACACAAUAUUGAGAACUUAAAUAGUGACAAAGUUCAAACAUCUGGCAUAGACCUUUUCUCUACAGCUGUUAAAUUCCAACUAGCACAUUCUUUUUACCAGCAUUUUUCUUUCUAGCAAAGAAAUCUAGUACAGAGAUGAGGCUUAUUACGUGUCUGACAUUAAUUUCUCAUUGUUAAACUUAUCUACAAAAGGCAGUUAUAAAAUUGCUCACGGCAAUCAAGAUCCUGGUUUCAUGCCAGUUUUUCAACAGAUAAGCACUUUCAAAAAUAAUUAUUUUUCAAUAGUGUUAUUGAAGUUGAGAACAGUUUUUCCCCUUCAAUCUUUUCAGUUUUCCUCUUAAUUAAAUCUAUUUUCUAGAAUUGCAUCAUGCACUACAAAUACAAAAAGCUAUCUUCUGAAUUCAACAGAAUCCAACAUGCCUUUGACUAUGGCAUGGUCUUGUUGCGGUAUUUGUAACAUGUUCAAAAUUUGUUAUCCCAUGCUCAUAUGAUGCUAGUUUUUAUUUUUAAUUAUUGGCUGCCUGGGAAUAAAUCUCAUCCACAUUGGGGGCAGAGGCAGGUUAAACCAAACAAAAGAGCUUAUGACCCAUGACUGACUAAUACUAAUAGGGGCUAAUCUCAUUAAUGCACUCUUCUUAAAAGACAUCUAGUAAUGGAAAAUGUGCCUUGUAAUAGUUUCUUCCCAUUGGAGUAAGUUUGCAUCAUUUAAUUCCACUGGGUUUAAAGGUGGUUAGACUGAUGAUGAGUCACAGACACUGUGUUUUCAUGCAAAUAUAUGGACACUACAAAUUAAGUAGUUUAGUAACGCAGUAGUACUAAAAAUGUGAAGUUUAUUUUUACUUGGGUUUGUGACCAUUGUUAUGGCAAAUGUGUUUCAUUUAUUUUCAAUCUUUCUCACCCUACGCUAAAUCUUAAGUUGCUUUAAAAACUCAUUUAAAGGAAGUAGUAAUAGGCUUGUAGGAAGAUUUAAGGAGCCCCCACCCCCACCCCACAAUCAGGCAUCUCACUCCAGGUCCAAUGCCAGUUCUCAGUAGCCCUGGCUGCCAUUGUCGCUGCAGAAUAAACAGUGUCUGCAUUGUGGAGAAAAUGGGGCUUCCUCUCCUGCCCCAUCUGUUAUUCUGUCUCUGCAUUUCCCUUUCCUGCAACCAUUAGCAUGUGGUUAGGAGGAGCUGGGUCUUAGGACACAUUAAUGGACUCAUUUGGAAUCUGCUGGAAUUAAAUUGCCUUUCUUUGGCUAUUAGCAAGGCCAGCCUAAGAGAUGCAUCUGAGGCUGAAAACACCACAAACACCUCUCCCUCUUCCCCGACAGUAAAAAUGCAAUAAUCAUAAAUUAAAUAGAUAGCAGUUGGCUACAUUUUUAUGAGACCAAACAUCAGCUGCCUGGACUGGCUGCCUCACUCUACUGGCUGGUAGGGCUGUCUCUGUGAUAUGGGUAGAACAAUUUCUGCAAAGGAUUACUUUGGUUUAAAAGUAAUUCAACAUUCAUUCCCAAAGGCUUGUGCCCGACAGCAAUGCUCUGAGCUUCUGCAAAUGCCCAGUGCAUCCUAAGGAAAGAAUAAGCAUUUUCUUUUACCUUUUGAACUUUUGCGAUGCAAAAUUGCACACCUUUCCCUAGAUAAUUAGGGCAUCACGACAUGCUUUGAUGGCAGAGUACAUUUUCUGCCUCUUGUUGAAUGCUAUCCUACCCAGCUUUGUUGCUUAAAGCCAUUUUCCAAUUAGUAUAAAUGAUGUGCCCAUUGGUUUAAAAGCACAGCUAAUGGAAAAUGCACUACAGAUAUUAAAAAUAUUAUUCUGUCAGUUGAAUUAACUAGUAUAUGUAUUAACACAUUUACUUGGGUUGGGUUUUGCUAUUUCUAUUUCUGAGCCCAAUUUUUGUGGCGGGGGGAGGGACUGUUGUAGUUAUCAAAAUGCUGAAUGAAGGUUGUUGGUUUAAAGACAAGUGUAUUUCAGGAACAUCUGCAAGUAAUCACUGGUAACCCAAAAUAAUUAAAAGAGGUAACUACAAAAUGGUUGGAGUAAACCUAAUCAGAACAAAUUUAGCCAGGUUUAAAAAUUAUUCUAGUUUAAUAGUGGAUAAGUAUGGAAAUUUCUUUCUAAGUCGCUCGUGUUCACCCUGCCCCUUUAUUUUAUCUGGGGAAAGCAUGCAUGAAACAUGUAUGAUCAGUGCAAAUGAAGUGAUUGUGUUCUUGAAAUAUACUCAGAGUCGAGAGUGGAUUUCAUGCUCUUUAUUCAGCUCAUAGGGGUGAGGAGGAAUAGAAGUUCCCCCAGAAUGUCUGCUUUAUAUACGUUAUUUACACAAGGGGCCCCAUGUGAUUGGCUAAUUCCGGGAUUCUCCUGUAGGCCAAUCAGCUUGCGGAUUCACUUCCACCUGGAGCUGGAUUGGGUAGCUCCUGUGGACCAAUCAGACUGCUGCAUUCUGAAUCCUAUUGUUCUAGGACCAACCAGACUGCUGCAUUUAGGAUCCUAUUCAACUCAGUACAUAACAGUUCUCUUUACUAGAACUGCUUGUCCAAUAAAGCAUAACAAAACAUUGAUGCAGAGAUGCCAACAACUUUCUUUGCCACAUUCUUUUUCAUUAUGGAACUCUCAGGAAUCUCCAGUGCAGUCACUAACCAGCCUCUAGCUUUAGCAAGGUUGUUGCACUACACACUGUGGGAUUAUUUUUGUUACCCUUAGAAGUCAAACAGGAUUUUUCAAGGCACCACUAGAGGCAGAGAGAGAAGACCUGACUUGAGUGUGCCACACAUUUCUUUCAGAGAGUGCUCAACUGAGAGUGCUCCGCCCACAUGGAAAUCACAAAUUCUUACUUAGAAUCAUAGAAUUGUUGAACAGGACCUCAGUGGUAAUCUAGUCCAAUCACCUCACCCUCCACUUGUAUUUCUCUACUUAAAUUCCCUCCACCAUAAGUGGCUAAACUUUUUCUUUUAAGAUGCUGUUAUACAUGCUGUAAUGUAUUGUGUAGUUUGUUUUGAAUGGAGGCAUUGACCAACUCCGACACAGAACAGCACUGACCAGGUGGCUGGGUGGAAGGAGGCAAAACCUAGGGAUGGUGCUGCUGGCUUUUAUGCCUUGCUGGCCAUGAGGGCAUGCGUACAGCCAAUGUCCUCUUGGCCUGUGACACACACACACACACACACACACGGAGAAGCCACUGAUUGGCCCAUUUGAGAUGCAGAAGCCGGCGGGAACUUGAGUCAGAUUUCCAGGCAGCCACGGGAAUUCUCCUAAUAGCUGCCUGGCCAUGUGCGCUCCAUUUUCACUGCCCAGAGAUGGCUGCUGAAUGUGAGAGGCCACAAUAGGCGCCCACCCAGGAAGGGGUAAGUGUCCAUUUUGGGGUAUCGGUGCUACUUUGCGCCUGAAUAUUUACCUCAGUGGUGCAAACAAAAAUGAUGGUCACAAUAACGCAUCUUGUUUCAAUUUCUAAGCAAAGGAAAUGAUUAAAAUGGGAAUAUAUCUGCAUUCUUAGAUCUAGUUGGAUGGGGCUACUUGACACAAGGCUUCAGUUUCUGAUUGGAACACGGGCGUAAAAGCUUACGAACACACGCGUACAUAUGUAAUUGUGUUGUGUGUGUGUGUAUGUAUAAAUUUUCCCUUGACGCUUGUUAUUACCUAUAAAGUGUUGUAAUUAUCAGAUUGCAGAAAACUGUUAUUCAUUAUUUAUUAACAUUGAUUCUUUACAUAAAAGUCACUCAAUUCAUAACCACAGAUUACCUCAGAAAAUGCUGUUUACUGCAGUUCUUCUGUGUUAAGGAAAUGAAGUACUUAAUUAUUAAAGAAUUGUACUGGUGUUUUCUGUUAAUAAAUUCUGAAGGAGGCAUGAAAUAGAGAAGAGAAUUAGCCACAGAGUAAAAACCCACAAACGUUUAGGCUGCUAAUACUGAUUUGGCAGGCCAAAGGAAACUGGCCCCUUGAACCAGUGCUCUCUAUAAGCUUUAAAAUAAACAAUGUUUGCCUUUGAACUCUUUUCACUGAUGUGUGACUCAAGAAAGAUUCAAAUAAGUAUGGAAAUGAUUAGAAGGACCCAAAAUGUUUUGGAAGAACCCAAAGUGUGUUGUGAAUACAAGUCUACUUUAUACAGCAGUUUCUGAGGCUGAGUUCUUCCAAGUAGCACAUGGGGAGGGAAAUCUGUUUCUGGACUGUAAUAAUAAUAAUACCGUAUUUUUCGCUCCAUAGGACGCACUUUUUCCCCUCCAAAAAUGAAGGGGAAAUGUGUGUGCGUCCUAUGGAGCGAUUGCAGGCUUCGCUGACGCCUGGAGAGCGAGAGGCAUCGGUGCGCACCGACCCCUCUCGCUCUCCAGGCUUCAGGAAGCUAUCCGCAAGCCUUGCAAGCCCGGUGGGAGUUCCCGCGGGCUCACAAGGCUUGCAGGCAGCAGCCUGCAGCCCCGGCGAGUGUCCGCAAGCCUUGCGCGCCCGGCAGGAGGUCCCGCCCGGCGCGCGAGGCUUGGGGCUGCAGCUUGUCGCCCGAAGCACGGGAGCCCUCCGGAGGGCUCCCCGUGCUUCGGGCGAGUGUCUGCAAGCCUUGCGCGCCCGGCAGGAGGUCCCGCCCGGCGCGCGAGGCUUGGGGCUGCAGCUUGUCGCCCGAAGCACGGGGAGCCCUCCGGAGGGCUCCCGUGCUUGGGCGAGUGUCCGCAGCCUUGCGCGCCCGGCAGGAGGUCCCGCCCGGCGCGCGAGGCUUGGGGCUGCAGCAGUCGCCCGAAGCACGGGAGCCCUCCGGAGGGCUCCCGUGCUCGGGCGAGUGUCCGCAAGCGGUGCGCACCCGGCAGGAGGUCCCACCGAGUGUGCGAGGCUCGGGGCGGCAGCCUGUCGCCCGAAAGCCUUGCGCGCCCGGCAGGAGGUCCCGCCCGCGCGCAAGGCUUGGGGCUGCAGCAUGUCGCCCGAAGCACGGGAGCCCUCCGGAGGGCUCCCGUGCUUCGGGCGAGUGUCUGCAAGCCUUGCGCGCCCGGCAGGAGGUCCCGCCGAGCGCGCAAGGCUUGAGGCGGCAGCCGCGGCGGGGGGGGGAUUUUUUUUAUUCAAUUACCCCCCCCAAAAACGAGGUGCGUCCUAUGGACCGGUGCGUCCUAUAGAACGAAAAAUACGGUAAUAAUAAUAAUAAUAAUAAUAAUAAUAAUAAUAAUAAUAAUAAAUUUUAUUUAUAUCCCGCCCUCCCCAGCCGAAGCCGGGCUCAGGGCGGCUAACAACAAUAAAACAGUACAAAAGUACAGCACAAACAACACUCUAAAAUCAUUCAUUAUAAAAUUAAUUAAUUCAAGCCACUGGCAACCAUUGGGCCAGAGCUCCGCGAAGAUUGCCGAGGGAGGGAGUCAGGCUGUGCCCUGGCCAAAGGCCUGGUGGAACAGCUCUGUCUUGCAGGCCCUGCGGAAAGAUGUCAAGUCCCGCAGGGCCCUGGUCUCUUGUGACAGAGUGUUCCACCAGAUUGGAGCCACAGCCGAAAAAGCCCUGGCUCUAGUUGAGGCCAGCCUAACCUCUCUGAGGCCUGGGACCUUCAGGAUGUUUUUAUUUGCAGACCGUAGGUUCCUCUGUGGGGCAUACCAGGAGAGGCGGUCCCGUAGGUACGAGGGUCCUAGGCCGUAUAGGGCUUUAAAGGUUAAAACCAGCACCUUAAACCUGAUCCUGUACUCCACCGGGAGCCAGUGCAGCUGGUAUAGCACCGGGUGAAUGUGAUCUCGCAGCGAAGACCCCGUAAGGAGUCUCGCUGCAGCAUUCUGCACCCGCUGGAGUUUCUGGGUCAGUCUCAAGGGCAGCCCCACGUAGAGCGAGUUACAAUAAUCCAGUCUGGAGGUGACCGUCGCAUGGAUCACAGUGGCUAGGUCAGGGCGAGAGAGGUAAGGAGUCAACUGCUUAGCUUGGCGGAGAUGUACCACUUCUGAGUGUGAGCGAGUCAAACAAGACGGUGCAAUCUACUCAGAAGUCAACUCCCUUACUUUCAAUGAGAUUUACUACUGUGUAGAGGGAUGUAAGGAGGGAGCAGUUUGUGUCCCUUACUGUGAUUGUUGCAAACAGCACUGUUACCACUCUACUAUAGUUUAGCAUUUGCUAAAACCUAUGUUAGUCAUCUCAUUACCUGCUAAGAUUGAAAUUAACUUAAUUGUGUCAUUAAUUUCAGUGCAUUUCAGUGGAAAGGAACCCUCAAAAACAAUGCAGAAAAUGAUAACCACUUGUAUAAUAUUUGUAGAUUUAAAAACCAACAAAAGUAUGGUUACCAGAUGUCCCCGUUUCCCAGGGACAGUCCCCAGAUUUACAAAUCAGUUCCCAGACAAAAUCCGUCCCCAGAAUGUCCCCGGUUUUCAUUUAAUGUUCCUGGAUUUAUAUUUUAGGUGUUAUAGAUUUAUUAGUAGGGAAUGAAUGUUGGUUGAUAGGUUCAAUGGCACAAGACACAUCAUAUGGGGACUUCUGGUGAGGCAAAAUGGCGGGCACCAUGGCAGCGAGCAGCUCCUGAAGCCAGCCAGAGCCAACUGCGCUACCAGGCUGGCUCCGGGCUGCUGAGAUUUCCACUGCUGCUGCCACUGCUGAGGGGGAACCAGGGACGCCCAGUGCGUCAACUGGGGGAACCGCUGACACACACAUCCCAUGACCCAAAUCGAGCUGGGAGCAAGAGUGCUCGGCUACCCGGCCAACUGCCCAGCGGCUCUCUGGGGCCAGGAAAACCCUGGAGCCGAUGCAGGGAGAAAGGGGAGAGGAGAAGGAGAAGGAAGAGAGAGAAAGAGGAAGAAGAAAAAAGAGGGGAGCCCAGACCUUGCUGUGCCACUGCCGUCGCCGCUGAGGAGAAGUAGGAAAGCACUGGGAGGGCAAGGACACGUGGCAGAGCCCAGGCCUGACCCAAACCUACUCCACAGCGGCUAGCACUCCAAGAGAGCAAGCCGGGGCCCAGAGGAAGGCCAUGCGAGAGAGGAGACCACAGAAGAGAAUAUAUUACUUCUUCUUCUUCUUCUUCUUCUUCUUCUUCUUCUUCUUCUUCUUUUUAAAAAAAACUUUUUAAAAUAACUUUUCCCCCCUCUUUUCAAAAAAAAAAAAGGGUCCCCGGAUACUUUGAAAAAAAUCUGAUAACCUUAAACAAAAGUCAAUACCGCCUGUGCAAUUUCCAUUUCUGACCUCAGAAGAAACAUGCAGAUUGCUCCAAUUUCCACUUCCAUUUCUGUUUCUGAUGAAAUUCUCAGACAUCCCUACUCCCAAGUAAGUGGCUGUAAGAUUGCUGUCCGAAUGCUCCUUUGUACGAAAGAAAGUUUCCUGGGCCUAGAAAACGAGGUGUUGGGGAGAAUUCUAGACUAGCUUUUCCCCAACACACAAAUUUUCAGGGGUCAGGAAUGAGGAGGGAGGGCUAUAGAAGAAGAUGCACUCAUGUACUUGGAGCCUAAAGUGAUACAAACCAGAAUAAAUUCAGCACAGACUGCAAGUUUGGUCAGAAAUGUGAAGGUUUUUCAAAAUGAUCUUCAAUGACCAGUGUAUGAAUAUGUAUUCUCUGCAGGAAGGUAAAUGGUUUACAGGGUGAGGGGCAGUGGGAGGGGUUGACUGAAAGGCAAUAAUGAAGAAGUUUCUUUUUCUGGCCAUCAACUUGCAUAUUGCCGAUUUUGUAGCAUGAAUGUGCACCAUAUUCUUAUCAUAGUCUUGCAAAGCUGGCUUGCAAAUAAAGUGAAGAAAAUUGCAACAGCAGAAGCAAAUGCUCUUUCUGUGGUUUUUCUGUCAUCGUCCAUUUCCCCAGUCAUUUGCAAAGUGAGCAAAGGAUGCCCUUUCCUCACACCAUUACACAGUGCUAUCAGUCUUCACUACUGCAUUGUCUACAUUUGUGGAAGCUUAGGGCAAAUUGCAUAGCAAUUGAGAUGAACAUUAUAAUAAACCUUCACUUAUAAAACAGCUUUUCUGGGAAUUGAUUUAUUUAUCCCAACUCUAUAUAUGGGCAAAUUUGUGGAUCAGCUGUUCUUACUGAUUUUCCUCUGAUAACAAUAAUACUAAGGCUGCAUUCCUAUGGGAAUUUGCUUGAGUUUAUCCUUUAUUUCUGGGGUUUAUUUCUGAAUAAGGAGACAUGUGAUUCGGCUGCAUAGCUCUCUUAGAUCAGAUCAGAUCAAAUCAACUCAGACAAAAGAAAGAUUAUUUAAACUUUGGUAGAAUGUUGAAGCGUGACAAGCUCUUUCAUGCAUAAAUAGAAUUAAGGCAUGAGCCAGUAGGAAGUUCUUUUAUACAAGCUGCACCACGGGAGUGGUGCAAGAAUGCACAUUCAUUUAAAUGGUUCUUGGGCACGAGAACUCUGCCACUGCUUAGACUUUCCUCACCAAAACUAAUACCAUACAUUUAGCACACAUGAUUUUUCCUCAAAUAGUCAGAGAACCGUAAUUUAUUGAGAAUGCUGAGAAUCAUAGGUGCCAACUACCUGGGGCUCUGGGUGCCUGAGCACCCACAAAAUUCCCCAUGAAGGGGCCAGGCAGCCACAAAUUUCAGUGCCAGUACCAUGCAUGCUGCGUGACACCCACGGCCCCAGGCACCCACAGUCAUGGGGCCAAGUUGGUACUCCUGCUGAGAAUUAUAGCACUGUUGAUGGGUAAACUAUAGAUUCCAUGAUUCUUUAGGGGUAAGUUAUGUGUUUUAAAGGUGCUUCAGAUUAGCUACUGUGUGUGUGUACAAAUUGUAGAACACCCUGUUUUUAAAAAAAUAUAAGAUCACUUCCCGGGGGUGGGGGGGGUGGGAAUCAUGACUUACAGAGGAGGGGGAAAACAUAUUUGUGACUUUCUCUUAGUACAUUCUGAUCAAUAACAAAGGCAUCUGAGGGUCUUGUAGUCCAGAAAAAGAUUUGCCAUGCAGCUGCAGAAAAUACCACCCAGAGACUAAUGGAGUGUCAGAGAGUUUAAUUAGAUACUGAGGUAGGAGUUAUAGGCAUCAUUAUGUACAACAGCACAGCCUGCAACUUAGAAAAUCCUCAUAUUGUUAAAGAGUUGGUUAAUAUUGAACAAGCACUUCUGUGUUUCCUCUGCUAAAGAAACCAGAUCAUUGUUUUCGUGCAAUUGGAAGGGCAACAUUCAUUUAUAUCUAGUAGGAAAGACUGUAUCUUGCUGAAGCUCAGCCAGAUUUCAAACCCUUUGGCCCCAUUCCAAUUCUUAAAUCCCACUGAAAUCAUUACUUAUGAGUCAUGACUAAUUGGGCUUAAGUGCAACUAAUCUAAAUUGGAUUGGGGCCAUUGGCUUGAAUCCUAAUGUUUAGCUAUGUGAAUAGAAAGAAAUUCUGUUCAUGGAAGAAAUGUUGCACUUAUGGAAAGACACCUUCCAUUUGUCUCUUUUUCUGUUCAUGGAGGAAAAAGUUAGAAUCCAAGCUGUCGAGGGAACCCAGGUUGGGGCUAAAAGGUGGUGUGUAAUAAAAAUAAAACAAUAAGUAUAUAGGAGCAUAAACAAGAAUCAGUGGAAACAAUGGCAGCAGUUCAACUGAAGUUAGUUGCACUUAACGCCCAAUUUAUUGUGAUGAAGUAUUUCAGCAGAAGUUAAUAUCUGAAUUAAGGCCAGUAGGUUUGAAAUCUAGUUCAAGUUCGGCAAGCUAUCUGGAGAAAGGUCUUUCCUACAUUGUAUAGGUAAAAGGUACCUUUCCAAUUUCAUGAAAUGAUCUGAUCUCUGGACUUUCUUUAGCAGAGGUAAAAAAAGUUUUUUAAAAACAAAACCUUAUACAACAGCAAAGGCACUCCAUAAAACAGCAGAAAUGAACAUUUUCCAUUUACAGAUGGAAGAGGAAUCAAUUUUAAAUGGAUUUAUAUAUGGCAAAUGAGAGCUUUGUUCCCAUCAGACCACCUCUCACAUUGAGUACCUGCUUACGUCUGAGCCACUCAUGCAGUGUCAGGGAUUUUGUUUUAAAGCCCAAAUAAUUAUAUACAAACAAUACAUAUCUGUGCAAUACAUAUAAAAGAGUCAAGCCCUAUGUUGUACCAUAUUUCUGUAGCAUCAAUAUAUAUUAAUACAUACAUAUUUUAUACACUUAAAUGCAUUACUAUGCAUCUCUUUGUGUGCUGGUUACUUUAGCAAACCUGGAAUAUAUGUAUUUAUAAUAUACAUUUAAUAUUAUAAGUAUAAUGUAUUUAAUAUAAGAGAAUUGUACACUUUCUUAGCGUAUUUAAAGUGGCAGGGAAUUUUUUAAAAAAAUCAUACAGCUAGGCUGCUAUGGGUGAAUGAUUCAACCAGCAUGUUGCUGUGCUCCCUGGUUAGCUGCUCUGCUGUACACUUCUUUCAUGUUUAAAAAAUCCUGCAUAUAGUGAUCUAGCACUUUAGGAAUAAAUGCUCUCUUCCUGCACCCAAAUUUUCUAUGGAGGUGUUUUUUUUUUGUGGUGGGAUGUUCAAACAUGCAGUCCCCUCAAGUGAUACUUGCCAAGCAAGACUGUGCUGUGACAAUUCUGAAAGUAUUCUCAGGACAUGUCACUUACCAUUCGAGUGGCCUUUUAAAACUCUUCCAUACCCUCCAGCAUUUCUCCAAUGAAAAUAGGGACGUCCUAUUCUAUUAUUUAUUAUUAUUAUUAUUAUUAUUAUUACCCCACCCAUCUGACUGGGUUGCCCCAGACACUCUUGCCAUCUUCCAACAUACAUAAAAACAUAAUAAAACAUUAAACAUUUAAAAACUCCCCUAUACAGGGCUGCCUUCAGAUGUCUUCUAAAGGUUGUGCUGUACAGUGGUACCUCGGGUUACAUACACUUCAGGUUACAGACUCCGCCAACCCAGAAAUAGUGCUUCAGGUUAAGAACUUUGCUUCAGGAUGAGAACAGAAAUCGUGCAGCAGCGGUGCAGCAGCAGCAGGAGGCCCCAUUAGCCAAAGUGAUGCUUCAGGUUAAGAACAGUUUCAGGUUAAGUACGAACCUCAGGAAUGAAUUAAGUACUUAACCUGAGGUAGCACUGCAUAGUUAUCUCCUUGGCUUGUGGGUCAUAUAACUCCGUACUCGCCAACAUUUCUCCAAUGAAAGUAGGGAUGUCCUAAGAAAAAGCAGGAUAUUCCAGGAUCAAAUCAGAAACCAGGACAGCUUCUGUAAAUCCAGGACAGUCCUUGGAAUAUAGUGACAAGUGGAGGCUCUGCUCUUCCUUCCAGAUCCUCGAGCCUCUUUAUCUGUCAGAAGUCACACUUUGGAUUCAGGAGUAAUCAUGUACAGACCCAGUAAUUAAUAAUGUCCUGAAUUCAGUUUUGCAAACUGAAAUGAAGCACUGUGUAUGAAUGAUUGUUACUAAACAUGGAAGUAAUAUUUUAUUAAUCAACAUUAAUGUUUCAGCUCUUAUGGACCAACUAAAUUUGGAAUUAAAUGGCAUUUCCAUGAAAAAGAAAUAUCUGUGCGGUUGGAGUAUGCAUUCUUAGUAGGAAGUUUAAGAGAGUUGCUUCUGUCCUGUUAGACAAUUGGAAAUAAAUAUUUCCAUGUGAUUUAUGUAACUAAACAACACAUUCUGGGCAGCAUCAAGCUAGAGAAUAAACAGUUUACAUUAACAUUUGAAUAAUGAAUUAAUCUGACAAAAUCAAUGUUUGUGGACAUUCUGGGAAGAAAGAGAGGCGAUUAAAUUAAUCCUAUAAAUUUUUCAUGAUGAAAUAUACUCAGCAUUAUGACGUUCAGUAUUUGCUGGGUUUCUGAGUAGUAGAACCAAAAUAUUGACCUAAGCAUGCAUGGCUGGGAAACUCAUAAAUAGUAGCAGCUCAAGAAGGAAUUAAAUGAGAGAAAGUGAAAGAAGAAAUAGUGCACAGUUUAAAAAUGGAACUUGAAUCAAGUGGAUGUUGAAUCUCAAUCCUUCACUGCCUCUGAUGCACAUUUAAAAUUUCACAGAGGCUAGAAAGUAAAUGGAGAAAUUUGCUUUUGAUGCAAGAUCUUUCCUGAACAAGAGUACAAUACAAGCCUUUCUAUUUUGUUCUAACCCCCUCUCUCUGUUUAUAGUGGUUCAUCAGGGCUUUUAUCCAUAGCGCUAAUCCAGUUUUGCAACCCGGUUCAUAAAACCACACACCCUGUUAAAUGCUAGUUCAGUUAUUAGUCUUGUCUCUCCAUGCUUCAAGCAGGUUAUUUUGACUCGGAAAAAAACAUCCUGCAAAUUAUAUAUAUAUAUAUAUAUAUAUAUAUAUAUAUAUAUAUAUAUAUAAUUUUCAAGUUACCCCACUGCUGCUGGGAAUGAAGGUUAGACUGAAAAUUGUCAGUAGUUGCUCUCCAUAGCAAGCUAUCCCCUAAUUCAAACUAAAGCAUAUUGCAGGUCAGGGUUUUUUUCACAGCUCAUCUCAGAAAUGAAAAAGGUUCCUUCAAGGAACUUCCUUGUAACAAUAUAAUUUUAAAAUUGCCACUGCUGCUCCCUCUGCUGUAAGGGGGAUGCUGACAAAGAUGCUUAGAAAGUUGAGGUAAUUUUAUCUGUUUCAGUGUUUUAGCUUUUGGAUGUUGCAAAUUUUUCUUGAUUUUACUGUUUAAUCUUUUAUAAACCACUGAGUUGUUUUUUGUUUUGUUUUUUACAAUCAAGCCGUGAAAUAAAUAAUAAAUAAAUAAAAUUUUCUCCCAUAGGCCCCCUCUGACAUCAGAAUCCUACCCCCACCUGAUGGGGGGGGCGGUUUACAGCUGUAGCACCACCACAGUCUUACACACAGGAGAUUGCAAGCCACCCAAAAUCACUUUGUGGGCAAUAUUAAACUGGCAGCUUCCCACUUGCCUGCCGCUGCUGCCUAAUAAAGGCAGAGUUCUGGACAAAGGGUAGGAGGAUGAGUCCACUCCAGGGGUCGUGCUGGUGGAUAGGGCCCAUGGCCUUGUCAAAUCCCAGAGGAUGCCAGUGUAUUAUUGCUGUACCAGCUGUCUGCUCUUAUAUAUUGUUUUUGUCCUGCCAUAUGAUUCGCAACACUUUGCAAAGUUUCUGAUUUGGAAUACACUUUGAACUCCUGCACAGCAACAAACCAUUUCAAUAUGGAUUUUCUUUCGUCUAAUCUUACUUUUCCACUGAAACAGAUUGCUUCUUUGAUUUAAGUAAAAACAUUGGACUAAACUUAUCUGUUUUAUUUGGAUAGCUUUCCCUAGUACAUUUUCCUAUUUUAUUUCCCCUGGAGAAUUAAAUCUGAUAAAGAUAGCUAUAGGUAUAGGCAUCCAUAAUUAUUUUCUACUUGUGGCUGAAAACUGAGAAACAGAUUCCUAGGCUGCAACCCUAUGCACGUCUACAAGUCCCACUGAGCACAGGUGUACUCAGUACUAUUUUUAUAGAAAAAAAGGUGCUGGAACUCAUCGUGAACAUCUCCCUUGUUCUCUUAUAAUGGCAUUGGCACCUGCCUGAGAGGUGCUGGAAUUCAGUUCCGCAGAGUUCCCACGAAAAGAAAAGUCUUGGGUGUACUUAAUUCUGAAUAAGCAUGUAUAGGAUUGCAUAGGGAUGGAAGGGCUUACGGAAGGGACCAAUUCUCAUUUUCUCAAUCUUAAAUUCAGUUUGGGUGGACUUGAAGUUGUUGGCUUUCGAUAUUCAAGAGUUCCAUCUCCUGAUCAGUACAGACAAUUCGUGAAGACCUACGUGACCAGACAGGGUCUCUGCUAAAAGGCUCUGGCUGAUUCAAAUGGGCCUAUCAGGCGAGGUUUUAGAUGCUUUCAGACCCUCCAAGUGUCCAUAUUUUCCAGGGCUAUCCUGGUUUCUGAUUUGAUCCUGGAAUGUCCCACUUUUCCUUAAGAUGUCCCUAUUUUCAUUGGAGAAAUGUUGGAGGGUACGUAGUUAUCCGACCCCUGAACCAUCUGAAUGAAAUCCUGUAUAGGGAAGGGUAUUUAAAAAAAAGAGUUUAAUGUUUUAUUAUGUUUUUAUGUAUGUUAGAGGCUGCCCAGAGUGGCUGGGGCAACCCAGUAAGAUGUGUGGGGUAUAAAUCGUAAAAUUAUCAUUAUGGAAUGGGACGUCCCUAUUUUCAUCAGAUAAAUGUUGGAGGGUAUGCACUUUGCUUCCCUCAAAGUGGGCUUCUGCCAACUUGGUACACAACAUCACUUGGUGGAGUUACUUUUUUAAAAAGUUAAUGACAUCCAUGGGGUUUUCUCCAAGAGAGGUGAAUAGGAGAAUGAGUUGCAGCACCAUUAAAAUACCAGCUGCCAUUUUAAGCAGUAUUCUAGAUAGCUUGGGUGGCUCAAAUUUGUCUCCCACAUUGUCUCUUCAUGAAAGGUGUGCCCUUGGCUUCUAUCCAGGUGCUGCACAUUUCUCUCUUUUUUAAAAAUGAUAUUUAUUGAGAUUUCAAAAACAAAAAAUUACAUAAAAGACAAUGAAAAAUAUAGAGAAAAAAGAGAAAAAACAUACAAAAUGCAAAGUAUAUAUAAAAAAAAGUAUAGAAAGAACACUUAGAAACAAAUUUAUCCUUUCGUAUCUUACAUUUCAUUUCCUUGCUUUCCUGACCUCCUCUCACCUCCCUUUUUUGUAUUCCGGUUCAAUUGGUUAAUUCAGCAAUUCCUUUCCCUCUUUGUUUUUGUCUUAGUCCUUUAACUUAAUAUAUUAUAGCUUUAAAUUCUCACCUAUUAACCAAUCAUUUUUUCAUACACCUUUAUGACAUUGCUGCUAGAACCACUUAAUUUCAUUCUGACAUCAUUCUAACAUUCAUUAAUUUUACAAUUUUUCUGUAAAUAGUAUUUAAAUUUCUUCCAAUCUUCUUCCACCGACUCUUCACCCUGGUCUCGGAUUCUGCCCGUCAUUUCCACCAAUUCCAUGUAGUCCAUCACCUUCAUCUGCCAUUCUUCCAGAGUGGGUAGAUCUUGUGUCUUCCAAUACUUUGCAAUAAGUAUUCUUGCUGCUGUUGUAGCAUACAUAAAGAAAGUUCUGUCCUUCUUUGGCACCAUUUGGCUGACCAUGCCCAGGAGAAAGGCCUCUGGUUUCUUCAGAAAGGUAUAUUUAAAUACCCUUUUCAUUUCAUUAUAAAUCAUCUCCCAGAAAGCCUUAAUCCUUGGGCACGUCCACCAAAGGUGAAAGAAUGUACCUUCAGUUUCUUUACAUUUCCAACAUUUAUUGUCGGGCAAAUGAUAGAUUUUUGCAAGCUUGACUGGUGUCAUGUACCACCUGUAUAUCAUUUUCAUAAUAUUCUCUCUUAAGGCAUUACAUGCCGUGGUUCCUGUUCUGUAGGUGGUAUCACCUUCUCCAGGCGGUCUCUUAAUUCAAAAGGUAGUUUUGGUAUGUCUAAAGUUCCUCUUUCUAGUAUUCCUGGCUCUUCUCCAGCUUCUUUCUGCAGGUCUUCACCGUGGUCUCUCAAAAAUCUUGCUUUGUCGUCCUCUGAUCUUAUUUUUAUCUUUCUUCCUUUGAAGCUAAAAGAAAGGCCUUGGGGACUUCCCACCUAAAGAUGAUUUUGUUGUUUCUCAGCAGGGCAACCAAAUCUCUAUAAUUGGACCUAAGGUCUAGAAGAUAUUUCGGAAUGUCCUUAAAUAUCUCCACUUUUGACUGAUGUAUUACCAAAGUCUUCUGGAAGUGCAGACUCAAGAUUUUAUCUCUCUCCUCUUUUGUUCGGAGGGUGAUCAAACAGUCUCUCACCCUGUUCUUCUUCCCUCCUCUUCCAAGCCUAAAAGCACUCACUAUCUUGAAGUUAUCCUUCUCCAAAUCUGGGUUCCAAAAGUCUGCAAGUUCCUGCGUAAGAAAAUCAAUCAAGUUGUCUUUCUCAAGUUCAGGUACAGCCCUGAUUCUUAAAUUCGUUUGCUUCUCUUUCAAUUCAAUCAUAGACAGUAUUGACCUAUGGUCUUCCAAUUGCUUGUGUAUCGGUGGUAACUUCUCUUCUACAGCAACUGCUAUUUCCUUUGCUUCUUCAGCUGUCUUUCGGGUCAAAGUAGAUUCCUGUAGUAAUUUCUCAAUAGUUUCUGUGUUAGUAUUUACCUUCUGUCCCAAAUUGUUAAUGCUUGUGGUAUUUUGAUCAAUUUUAUUUGAUGCUUCAGCUACUUGUUUACUUAAUUUUUCCAAAGAUUCAUUAAUUUUGCCAAGUGCCUGAGCUAAAACAUCUUCGGAUGCCAUUCCUUUGGGUUUAGAUUGUGCCAAUGCAGCUCCUGUUGGUAAACCAGGAGGGCCAGAUGUUGAAGCUCUUCGCUGCAGCCCAACAUCUGUGUGUAACACUCUACCAGACCUCGUUGCUUUUUCCUGAAGCAAAUCUAUCUUCUCUUUUCCAUUUGCCAUAACAGUCUAGAUAAUACUCAAGGUCAGUCCCACGAUCAGAGUUUGUUAUGAAGUGGAAAAUUCCCCUGGCCCAGUUGUUAUUGUAGCAAUCUCAAGCUUCCUCUAGGGGGACACAAUAACAGGCAACAGUUGUUACUUUAAAAUAAAUGUCCUUUUUCUUUUAAUCCCCCAGCUCACAAAAUAGACAACAGUUUUAAAUUCAGUUAUUUUCCAGUUACUUUGAAACCAGGGGAAACCAGCCAGAAAUAUUGUAUCUCACUUGUAUCAGACUUGCGGAGUUAGCUGUCAAAAAGUACUUUCACCAACAGCGCAUUUCACAGUACGGCAUUCUAUUUUUCAUUGGCAGUCCGUUCCCAGGUUUAAGCGGUGGAUUCUUAGCUUCCUUUUCUCUCUUUUUACAGGAAAAUACAGUUCAAACCUUUCCCCCCUCCUCUCCUGCAAUCAAGGGGGGAAAUCGCUUGUUUUAGAUGAUAGAAUUAUAGUCUUUUUCAAGCGUCUUUCAAGGUUUUAGCUUACAAGUUCAUUGCUUUCCUCUAUUUACAAAGAACGGAAGGCAGACUUCCUGUUUAUGCCUCUCCGCUUCGGUAUCCAAUUACUUCUUUUUUCUCUCUCCUUUAUUUCCCGAAUUAACCUACUCACGGAUUGUUGUUUUGUAGUCCAAUUGUCACAGGAAAAAGGUAGCACUCUCCGGUAACGGCUAUGCGGCUUCGCUCCAUGGAAGAAGCAGUUGACUCACAGCACCGCGCCGCUUCCCCGCUUCAUUCCGGAACCCGUAAUCGGGCUCCUUUGCAAGUUGGGGGGGGCGCAAAAGGUGCCCGCCGAGUCCCACGGUCACAGGCUUCACCCGCCUGUGAUUUUUGAAGGGUCCCCACUUCACCGUAGCGGUGCAGACCCGAUUCCCGCAGAGCCAGUCCCCUCCGAGUCAGAGGGAAUCCGCCAUUACCGAUGGCGCCACCCUGGAAGUCAGGUGCUGCACAUUUCUCAGAUGGAUCUUGAAUUGGGUCCUCACCACACUCUGCUUGCAUUUGAGUGGGAAUUUCUCCUAAUAAAUACAGGAUAUGCUCAACUCUUUCCCACUGAAAUAACUGUGAUUUAAAGGCGAUAAACUUUGGCUGAAUCAGGCCCAAGUGUCUUUAAAUACUAAGAACAAAGGAUUGUAUUCACAGAAUAGUAAAAUUGUAGAGUUGGAAGGGACCCUGAUGAUCAUCUAGUCCAACCCCCUGCAAUGCAGGAAUCUCAGCUAAUGCAUCCAUGACAGAUGGCCAUCUGACCUCAGUUUAAAAAUCUCCAAGGGUGGAGAGUCCACCACCUCCAAGGAAGUAUGUUCCACUGUUGAACAGCUCUUACUGUCAGAAAGUUUUUCCUGAUGUUUAUUUGGACUCUCAGUCUCCUCUUAUCCCGGGGCUAUACAUACCCAGCUCCCUCAGCUGUUCCUCAUAAGGCUUGAUCCUUGAUCAUCUUGGUCACCUUCUUCUGCACACAUUCCUGCUUGUCAAUAUCCUUCUUAAAGUGUGGUCCCCAGAACUGGACACAGUACUCCAGGUGUGGCCUGACCAAGGUAGAAUAGAGUUGGACAACAACAAAUUACUUCCUUAGAUCUGGACACUAUACUUCAGUUGAUGCACCCUAGAAUAACAUUAGCUCCCCCCCCCCCCGCUGCAUCACACUGUUGACUCGUGUUAAGCUUGUGGUCUACUGAGAUCCCUCAAUCAUUUUCACAUUUACUACUGUCGAGUCAGAUGUCCCCCAUCUUAUAUUUCUGCAGCUGGUUCUUUCUACCUAAGUGUAGAACCUGCUAUUUGUCCUUAUUGAAUUCAUUAUGUUAGUUUGUGCCCAAUUCUCCAAUCUGUUAAGGUCAUCUUGAAUCCUGAUUCUGUCUUCGGCAUUAUCUACCACUCCCAACUUGGUGUGAUCUGCAUAUUUGAUGAGCAUCCUCUCAAUUUCUUCAUCCAAGAUGUUUAUAAAGAUGUUGAACAACAACAGGCCAAGGACAGAACUUUGUGGUACCCCAUUUGUCACUUUUUUCCAGGGUGACCAAGAACCAUUAGUGAGCACUCUUUUGGUUCAGUCGGUUAACCAACUACAAAUCCCCCUGUUAUCUCAUCCAACCCACAUAUUACCAGCUUCUCUGCAAGCAUAUCAUGGGGGAUUUUGUCAAAUUCCUUGCUGAAAUCAAGAUAUACUAUGUCCACAGCAUUCCCCUGAUCCACCAAGCUUGUAACGCUACCAAACUCUAGUCACUUAAAUCCUACUCAGAAUAGACCCACAGUAAUUAAUCAACCUAAACUAGUCAUGUCCAUUAAUGUCAACGGAUCUACUCUGCGUGGGACAAGCAUUGACUACCACCCCAAAGUACUUAUAAUCCCUAUUUCUGAUGUAUUUUGGUGCAGGCAUUUGAAGUAUUCCAACCUGAGUUUUGCUCAGUUUGGGCUAAUAUAUUUAAGAAACAUGACAACUCAAGAUUUAACCAUAGUUCAUUCACAGAAGAAUAUGGUAGUGGCUUCUUGGCGGGGGGUGUCUCAGGAUCCAGCCAAAGAAGGUUAUGCUACUGCUCAUGAUAGAUGCCUUUUCCUUAGUGUAUGUUAGUUGCGGAAGUCUUAACAUCACUCAUACUGAGGAGGGCAACAGUACAGUACUAACUCCAGGCAACAGAAACAAACAAAAAAAAAAUUUAAACUCAGGAAAGCUACUAUCUCCAAGCUUUGCUCAUAUCUAUUUAAGACCUAUUACUGAGUAUAUGUUCAACUCAGCCCACUGUGAUUUGAUUGACAUUUUCACAGUUCCUUCACUGGCAGUGAAAAACUAAAAGUAAUUUCAUGUUAUAAGCAAGCCCUGUUUUCUCAAAAUAACAAUUUAAUAAGAGAAGACCUACUCCUAAUGUAUAUGACUGAUAUAUACCAUAAUUGGAAUACCUGGAUUUUUUUUUAGAGAGAAAACUGCUGACAUGGUAGGGGGAAAAGGACCAUUAAGUAGUGAUAUAAUUUAUGAUAAUGGCUCAUGUCAUUUUUUGUGAAUCAUUGAGCCUAUCCUGAUUCACAGUUGUUUCUUUUUCCUAAUUUUGAUGCUCUUUCAUCCCUACGUGUUUCACCUGCAUAAGAGUUUGUAAUCAUUUUUGAAAAACUUGGAUGUGUGUUUUGUCACAUGAACUUUGGGCCAUUUACUGAUCACAUUUUUAUGCAUGUAAUUUUACAUAAUUUUAUUAUCACAUGUGUCUGCAGAAAGGGGAUUGUGGAAAGUGAAGCUAACGUAGCAGGAUUUUUUUUUUAAAAAGGUUUUCAAACAAACAUUUACUUGAACAAAUACCAUCCAGGUCACUGUAAUCCCAUGAAUGCCCACAGAAUCUUUUUCAGUGUGUGCUUGCUUGCUUUCAUGAGGGCACAAAAUAUGUGAUCCUUUGUGAACAGUUUGAAACACACAAAUUUUGCGGACACCCCUAGUUAAGAGGCACGUCAAAAAACACCACCAAUAUUAAUCAGAAAGGGCUGACCUCUGAGACCCCAGUCCAGCUCUAGCUCUGCUUAGUUAGACAUGAGGGCAUCUAGUGGCUCUGAAAACCAUCCUCACCAAAGAUGUAUCAAGGCAAAUCAAGAGGACCAGAGUGAGCUCCACAGUACUGCAUGUAGGUACAAAUCCAUUUGUCCAACUUCGUUCACAUAGGUUGGAUAUGUGGAAGCCUCGUUUUGCAGAAGGAUAUCUCUAUGCCACAGUGAGAAAACUCUUUUUAGGGAGCAGUUUCUUGCUGUUUGUGUGGACCAUGAUAGCUGAUACCUUCUAAAACCCAUUGAUCACAAUUCCAUGAUUCCAUGAUAGCUCCUUACAACUUCAAUUUGCUUGCCCAAGGCUGUGCUGAGGGUGGUAGGCUAGGUCACAAAUAAUGGCUAGUGACUCUAAUUUGUACACACCAUACUUCCCCGUUUCCUUGCACAGCAGAGCCAACUGUAUCCAGCUAUAUCCAACUGCAACUUCUCCAGAGUGCUGAUGUGGCAGUGCAUUCAUGAAGGCUGCAAAGCCAGGUCACAGUCACAUGAAGAGGCAUUGUUUUAUCUUUGGGUUACCGUGUUGGUAACAAAACACAUGUGGCACUGUGUAGUGGAGCAGAGGAUUCACACUAUUAGCGCUGGUAUCAUUUUGGCUGUGAAAGUUUGUAUGGGUCUUCUGUAGGCUGACACUAAUCCAAACGAUUAGUAAAAAAUAGCAAAUUCACUCUUAUUCAUAAUAGGUGUUGGAGAAAAGGUGUGCUGUUUUUUCCCUUGAAAUGGUUUCAAGAGAGAUAGAAAAGAGAAAUCCAAGCUUGGAUGAGGUUGCAAUAGCCCAUGGGGAUAAAUAAUGCAUGAGCCAUGUGGGGGGGGGCAGAUUUGGGCAUUGCACAGGGUGCCACAAGAUAUUUGGGACACCAAGUUCUGCCGCAGAUUUCAAAUUCCAAAUCUGAGUAGCAAGAUAGGAAAUCUGGGGAAAUUUCAAAUAUUUGUGAAUAUUUGUCUCAGCCCUACUGUGUAUCUGUACCUGACUUGCAAAUAAAUCCACAAAAGACACUAGCUCACAUGCCUGCAUAUACCAAUGUUUGUCAUUUUGUAUUUACCAGCCAUGACUGGUAUGCCAACUAUGGCCAUUCUUGGACAGGAAUAGCCUCAAGCUUCAAUUACUAUGUGUGGGGCUGUCAAAAUGCAAUUUUAUUUCACUUCAGUUUGGGCGAUCUCUUAGUUAGAUGGAUACUAUCAGCAAUUUAAGAAAAUGUUAUCUAAUUGGUUUCUGGCCACACACAUUUGUUUAGUGUGUCUUAAAGAGAAUAUAGAUAAAUGCAUAUCUAAUACUCCAGAUCACUAAAUGCAAUGCUCAGUGCCUCUUGUAUAUGGCUGUCAAUUCUGAUGCCAAUGUAGCAUGAUAUUAAGCUCUUUCUAAUCUUUGUCAUCCCAGUCAUGGGAAGUUUCAUAUGGCUUCUGUCACUUGUCAGAGGCCACAUACAGGUCCUCAUAACGGUGAGGAUAAAGAGAGGCGUUAUGCUCCAAUAACCAUCAGACUUGACAGUUAUAUACAGGAGACACGAUUCCUGCAGUUUCUCAUCUUUCAUGAAAAGUAUCUUGUCUCAAAUGCUUCUGUGUCAUACUGGCUUUACAUUUGCUCAUCAGUUUUUGGAGUGAGGUCUGUGAUAUCCAGUUUCAACAUUAAGUUCAGCCCUCUUCACUUGUUAAAAUUAGAGUAAUGUAAACACAUAAGAGGGAGCAGCAAGGAUGGGGUCGCUAGUCGCCCAGAGUGGCUGAGGCAACCCAGUUAGAUGGGCAGAGUACAAAUAAUAAAAAUUGUUGUCAUUGGUGUCAUCUCCACCUUCCACUGUCACCAUUUCUUUCACCUUCCAACUCACAGAAAGCAAAGGUUUGAAAUGAGAAGCAUUCUGCAGUUGUGCAGGCACCCUAUGCCUUUUAGACUCUUGGGAAAUUUGAAAUGCAUAGGAAGCCUCCCUGCUUCAAAACUUCAAUUGCCACAAGCUGCGAGGUGACAAAUGGAGGUGGAAUGGGGCACUCACCACCCGUGUGUUUACUUCAACACCUGAAAAAGGCUUUUGAGUGAGAGUGCCUCAGGACAUAUGGUUAAAAGCCCACAUGGUCACGCACAUGAGAGCCUAGGUCAGCCUUUCACAACCUUGGGUCCCCAGAUGUUGUUGAACUACAAUUCCCACCAUCCCUAGCUAGCAAGGCCAGAGCUCAGGGAUGAUGGGAGUUGUAGUCCAACAACAUAUGGAGAUCCAAGGUUAAGAAACACUGGCCUAGGUGAAGGUAAGUCCAAUAGCAAUUGUGUGGCGGGGGACUUCCGGGUUGGUGCCUCCGGCAAUGGCGGAGCUCCUCCGUUCGGGAGGAACUUGCUCCGUGAAAAACAGGGUCUGACCGCCACGGCGAAGGUGGAGACCCAUUGAAAUCAUAAGCGGGAGAAGCUUGUGAACCUGGGAUUCGGCUGGCACCUUUUGCGCCUCCCCUACUCGUGUGAUAACCCUGUUUUGGGGAUCCGGAGCGACGUGGGGUGAGUGGUGCGGUGCUUUGAAUCGACUGCUUUUUUCACGGAGUGAAGCCGCAUUGCUGUUGCCGGAGAGCGCUGACUUUUUCCUGUGGACAAUUGGAUUAUAAACAACUACUCGUGAGUAAAUCGGAAAAUUGGAUUUUUAAAUACUUUAAUUUGGCACUGAAGCGGGAGGUCAUAAACAGGAAGUCCGCCUCCCGUUUUUGUAAAUAGACUGAAGCAAAGACAUUACAAGUUAAAGUCUUUAAAAGCUUUUGGCAAAGGAUUAAAUUUCCAUCGGUUUAAAAUACAAAACCCCCCUUGGAAGCAGGAGAAGAGGGGAAAUUUUGGAUCUAGUGAGCCUGCAGGAGAGAGUGAAAAAUCAAAUUACCACUGCUCUGAACCUGGGAACGGGCUGCCAGAUGACGUUUGGAGAGAGUGCAUUUGACAGAAUGGAUAAAUAAGAGUAAGAUACUGUUUCCAUUGUCCUCCUCUGCGUUUAAAAAAGAGGAAAAGUAACUGAAAAUUUAUCUUUAAUGCUUGAGUUGUGCUUGAAAGAAUUGAUACAUGUGGAGACUGUUUCCCUCUAGAGGGAGCUUUUGAAACUGUUACAGGACUGUAACUGGGGGAUUUCCAGCUGCAGAUAAGGUUUCUGAGAACCAGAGAGUGACCUUGGACCAUUUAAAAAUGUUGACAGGAGAGGCCAUUGUGACUGUUUUAUGUAAGAUAAGCUGUUCGCUGGGACAGCUUCACAAGAAGAUGGAUGACAUGACUUUUAAAGUUGAUAAUUUGGAACAGAAAGUGACUAAUUUGAGUCAAAAAGCGAACAUCAACACAGAAAUAAUUCAGGACUUGGUACAGGAAUCCAUUUUGGCAGGACAAAUGGUGGAGGAGAAGGAGAAGAAGGAGAAUGCUGCUGUUGUUGAACAUAAAGUUGAACAUAAAGUAAUACAAGUGAGAUCUGUGGCUUUACAGAAGCAAAUUGAGGACUAUAAGUUGAGGCCUUUUAUGAUUGAAUCUAGGAAAAGUCAGACUCUGAGGAAUGGAUCCCGGCUUGGACGAAAGAAGGAAAGUUGGAAAGAUCCCUCUAUGCAGGGAUUAACUGACUUUUGGGACAUGGACUCGGGCCUGGAGGAGAUUGAAGUUUUGGGGGCCUUUGGACUUGGAGGAAUCUUUAAAUAUGCCCUGAAAUACUUUAUGGACUGUAGCUUUAACUAUGGAAAUUUGGCUGAUCUGUUCAGAAGGAAGAAAAGGAUUGACAGGUUGGAGUUUCCCCGAGAUUUGCUCUUUAGCAUUAAAGAAAAUGAAGAAGACCUGCAGAAGGGACUUGGAAAAGAGUUAAGAGCCUCGGACAUAAGAUCACCAGGUUGAUGGACUUUAUGGAGUUGACGGAAAGGACUGGCAGAAUCCGAAACCAGGGAGAGGAGAUGGUGGAAGAAGAUUGGAUAAUUUAUAGUUUAUAUAUAGACUUACGGUAAAACUAAUGAGUGAUAGAAAAAUGGUGGAAUGAUUUUUUAUGGGCUUAGCAGAAAUUUUAUAAGGAGUUAAGUAUAUAUAAGUAUUUUAGUUUUAAUGGAAAAUAAGGUUAAAAAUACGUUAUUUACAAUAUGAUAGAAAAUGGAGAAAGAUGGAAAGGAUUUGCUGAAACAAUUAAAAGAAGUGGAAUACAAAAAGGGAGGUGAGAGGAGGUCGAGGAAACAAGGGAAUGAAAGAUAGAAUACGGAAAAGAGAUGAUGUAUGUUUUUAAAUUGUUUUUGUUUUGUUUCAUUUAGGGUUAAGGUUAGGGAGUGGGGUUUGUUUAGUUUAGUUUAAUGUGUUUAGUUUUGAGUUUAGGUUGUGUUUUGCAUUGUUUAUAUAUUGUAUUGUAUUGUUUUUUUUCUUUUUGCUUUCCUUCUUUGUCUUUUUUCUGUUUUUUUUCUCUUCUUUUUUCUCUUUUUGUAAUCUAUAAAAGUAAUAAACAUUAUUUUUUUUUUAAAAAAAGGAAUUGUGUGGCGAUGCCAAUUAUAUGAACUGGUACUUAUGCACUUGCAUCUAGCAUGACUGCAACUGGCUUUUUUUGGGGGGGGGAGCAGUCACAAUUGUCCAAAAGAACAGUGUCCGUAGGUCAUACCAUUGCCUCCUUCAGUCUGUGUGAUCCAUGCUCUGACAAGUGAUCAGCUGGGAUAUUGUGUCCUAGUUUUAUGUAUUUAUUUGUAUGUUGACAAAUUUUUGUCACAUAUACUGCAUUAAUUCUGCCACCCAGUUCUUGUUAUCUAAAUUUGUUGUAUUCCCUAGUGAGCUAUAAUUUUGGAGUACAAAAAACUAGCUCUGGUAUAUUGAUGCGGAGCCCAAGAGAGUGGCAGUUGAAAGACCAUUCUCUUGAGCCUACAAACAUUCUGCAGUUGUUAUUCUCUUCCUGUUUUUCAGAUAAUAUGCAUUUUAAUAUCAACUUCUAAUCCUCUUCUCAGGUAAAUGAAUAUAAAAAAUAUAAACAGAAUGAUAAAUAUUGUAUGUCUCGUCUAAACUGUCAAAUGUUACUGAUAGUGAAACCUAGGCUACCAAAUACUGAAUAUCAAAUAAUGUAUUGAUGUUCAUUUUACUAAUAUGUAUAGCCUUCUUUCCCUGAGAAAUAAAUCCAAUAAAUUAAAAAAAAAUGUAGUAUAUAAAAAAUAGACCUCCAUCUGACACAGAGUGGCUGGACACUGCUGAAGUCCAAGAUGAGAAGGUCAAAAUGUUGGUUAGGCCAACAAAAAGGGCCUCUCUCCCAUUCCAUCUCCUCUAAUAAGAUGCAUUGCUGAUGGCCUUUCAGAGAGUCCAAGAGGAGAGGGGCUUGAAUGAAUAACAUAGGCCAGGAAUAGUCAACAUGGUGCCCUCUACAUGUUCUUGAAUUCCAGCUCCCAUCAGCCCCUUUCAGCUUGACCAGUGAUCAGGAAUGGCUGGAGUUGAAGACCACCAACAUCGGAAGGCAUAGACAGCCAAAUAUCAAUCAUUAGAUAUCAAAUAGCAUGGUUUACCAGGUAUCACAUGAGAUGUGCAGAUCAGAGUUACUGCCUCUACAUGGAUUUUACAGUGUUUACACAGGAUUAAUCAUUUAAGUCGCUGGACAAUUCCUGGGGUACUAAUGAAGUGGCAAUGGUUUUGUUUUUUAAUCUUGCAAAGCCACCCUGUCAUCAGCAAGGAAUAGAGAAUGAAGUUGAUAAUUUAGUAUUCAGACCAAGCCUCUGGUGGACAGUAGAUACUGAUGGCGUUUAGCAGUACUUGUGCUUUUCAACAAUGAUUCGUCGUAAAACAUUUGUCUCCUGACUCUGUUAUCAAACAUUCUUUGGCACUCUCUCUCACUCUCUCUCCUUCUCCCCACCCCCCGCAUGUCGCUAAUGCCAGUUGAGAUUUGAAAUAGUCUAAACAGCUGAAUACUUAAACUACAAGGAGUCUGGGGCAAAGAAUCUUGUAUUUGUAAAAAGGGCAAUAUUUGCAUUUUUAGAAGACAGUAGUAGCAGUGAUUCCUGUAACUCCAUAAGCCCCCUGACAAAUAAGAUUCCAUUUAUUUAUAUUGCUAUAUGGAAGAAAAGAUCCAAUAUAAUAAUUUUGCUUUCUGUAUCAUUCCCCCUACCCCUCCAUUUUUAAGUACCAUUUGUUGCAAAGGUUUCAACAGAAAACUGGAAGGCCUUCACAAACAAAAAUAAUGGGGAAUUACCACCAGAUCAUGAAGUGUAGAGCUAGCCAACUUGAUGCCCUCCAGAGGUUGUUUAAAAUCACUCCCAUCAUCUUUGACCAUUGGUCAGGUACCUGGAGCUGAUGGGUGUUGCAUCCAUGACAUAGUGCAAUCUUGUGCAUGUUUACUCAGAAAUAAACCCCACUGAUUUUAAUGGUGCUUACUCCAAAGUAAGUUUGUACAGGGUUGUAGCUUGAGUAUGUGUGUUCCUAAGCAACUUUCCUAAUGCCACUCUUUAUUUUUAACCUGUUCAGCACUGGAUAUUUUUGUCAUCCAUCAUCAUCAUCUCAAAUUAAUAGUGUGCACACAAAUAAUAAACAUAACACUUAAAAUUAAUAUGAUGUUACAAUUUUGUAAUCCCUAAAUCAGGGUUGCCAGUGCUGCACCUGCAGAUGGCAGUUGCCACACGAGUACCUCUUAAGGUGCCCACAAAAGGUCUCAGAAAAUAUUUCCUCAGGUAUCCACAAUACAUGAGAGUCUUUUGCUCUUCCUAUUCAGUUCUUGUUUGCACUGGCAGCGGUUUUGUGACGGGUGCUCAUCGCACUUCCUCAAAAUUGCAAAAGUGUCCCCUGUCCAAAAUGGGUUGGUGGCUCUUAUCUUAAACCAUUUUUUCACAAGUGGGAUCCACUUCAAAAUAAAUUGCUUAACAUUAGUGCCUCGGUUCUAGGCCCAGUGCAAUGAUUCCCAAACUCUGUGCUUCAAGAGGUUUUGAAGAAUGCCUUGGAAAACAAAGCAGAUAAGAUGGAUGAAUCUACCACUCUAUUCACUCGGAGUGGGUAGGCCCUGGGCAGCAUUGGUCUCUCUCUGAGACCAUGUGGUUGGUGACAUCAGCCCAAAGUAAGAAGAAAGGAAUCAGGAUGCACUAAGAAUCUUUGAUGCAGCCUGCGUAGCAGAGUGAAAGGCAUAAAGGAAUGCCAGAAGCACUUUCAUUGCCAGACAGUAUGGUCCCAUCCCUACGUGGACCAAGGGGAGGGUAUGGUAGUAAUUGCGCUCAAGGAUGCUUGAGCUGUUAGCCAGACGGCAAAACAGAAGCACAGUCAUGGCCAAGGCGCAAGUUAUGCAGUCUAGUGAAGUGCAGGCAAAGCAAGGCAAGAUGGCUUUGUAUUGCUACUCUGAGGGAUGGAGGAGGCAUUCCAGUCAGCUCAGAUUCAAUUCAAUUCACAUCACAUUCGUUUCAAUUCACUUUUCAAAACAAUAUGCAAACUGAAGCCCAGCUAUUCUUCAAAAUUGGCCCUUUGCUGCAUUUUGUCACGCCAAGUUUUGCGUACAAAAAUGCAUAUACUGUGGUAAACUGUGCAUAUGAAUGCAUAUAUUAGUGAAAAUAAGAUACAAAAAUGCAUCAGCGGAAAUUGCUUUGAAAAAACAUUUGCACACAAAUUUGUUUAAUAGGAGAAAUUAGCAGAAAAAUGCUGACAAGCUCUCUUGAGGACUCCCUCCCCCGCUUUCAAACUGCAGACUGAUGUGGAAAUUUGGAUAACUGAACCUCAGAGUGGAAAAAUGAGAAAUUCUGUAAACUGCCUUGUGAUCUUCAGGUGAAGGGUGGUAUGUAUAUUUAAAUAAAUAAAUGAAUGAAUAAAUGGGAAGAAAAUGAAAUUGAGAUAUUCUUCCAUUGAUAGUGAUGGGUUGUUCAGAUUGAGGAGCAAGCUCUGAGGCCAGAGCUUUAUAAGUCUGGGUAAGUGAGGAUUGUCCUGCGGACUCAGCUGGCAGUUCCGUGGGUAGGUUUGUACUGUCUACGAUUGCAUCCUUCCUGCAGAGCAGGAAUAGUGCUAGUGGCCCUGGAAAUAAGGCACCAGGUGGACGCUGCACUUUGAGACCCCUACUAUCAAUUUUGACUCAGGAACCCAAAAUAUAGGAAACACUGUCCUUGUGCAUUACUUUAUUCAUAACCUUCCAUUUGAAUCCUUACUUCUGAAUCGGUGCUUUUAUCAGGCUAGUAGAGAUGAAAAUGUUCUUCAGUUCUGUUUCCCUACAAUUGGAUAGAGUGGUAUUCUAUUCAGUGUAAUUUGGAUUCAGAGCUACAUUUCUUCCUGUUUUCCUCCACUGAAACCAUAGAAUACUGAUGAAUCGCAGGCAAAAUUCACUGAGGGAGCUUGCCUUGUUUUUCUUUGUUGUUUUCUAACCAGUUUUUCCCUUUCUAUGUACUGUUUUGUUUUUUGAAUCCCUUUCCUGCUUUCAUCUUGUCCCAGCAUAAAAGCUAAAUAUUUUAGGAGCUAUGAAAAUGAGAGCUUCACUGGUCUUGUUUGUCAUACUUCCAACCUGAGUGCUUCAUAUUUCCUGUAUUUUUGUGUGUGCUUCUUUGUGUGUGCUCAUUGGAAUGUCCAGGUAAAGGGAUAUAAGCUGCCAGUGCUAACCAGGGACUUCAGACUGAUACCUUAGAGAGCCAUUGUUGGAGUGCCAGCCAGCAGUGGUCUGACCCAACAUAAAGCAGUUUCUUAUGACCAGAAGUUUAAACCUAAUAAACAAUAAAAGGGGAAGGAAAGCAUGAGAGGCUUCUUUCUGUCGCCUCUCUUUCCCACAGAGACCUUUCAGGUUUGAAGCCAUUGCCAGUUCUUUCUCAGCAUAAAUCCCACAUUAUACCAUUGCAGCAUUAGCCCUAUUCAGAACAGUUGACAAUGGAGUCAACCAAAGUGGUGGCAACCCUGGCCUUAAUUGUAAGUAGUGCCAAACCCAGGACCUGAUGGGAGACAUAAGUGUGGUUGACCUGACCACAAAGUUGUCAAAUGCAACAUAUACACAACAUAUACGCAAGUGAAUUGGCAAGGAAAUUGAACACAGCCACAUUUGAUUUCAAAAGAGGAAACUUACCCAUAAUAGGGAUUUUUUGAGCCUCCAGCACUUGAAAGUAUGAUCAAAAUGUAUAUGUAGGAAAAAGCCACCUUACAACUUCUCUUUCUAUAAUAAAACUUCUAUAAUAAUGCCCAGCUGUGUAGAUUGACAUAUAAACUAAACAAUGUCUUAGAUUUCUUUUCAGCCCUAACAUGCAGGAUAGAAUAUCCCAGGACCAUUUUCUCCCAUUUUACUUUAAACAAAGUGUUGUGGUUUGUUAGUAAAAACAAAUGGUGAGUUGCCCAAGGUUAUAUGGGGAAAGAGUUUUAUGCUUACACCCAAAAAACUGGCUCUAUGUUGUCUGACUAAAUGUCAGUUGAUGCGGCUGUUCAUCUUAUACAGAUUAGUAUUUUUAGUGUUGCCCAUAAAACAUUGAACCCUGGGCAUACGUAUGCCCUAUCCCCCUGCCCCCCCGGCCACUGCCACCACCAAAAUAUCUUCCUCUAUAAUCACUUUUGAUAAGGGCUCUAUUUAAUAGCUUCAAAAUGAUUUGGCCCCAAGUCAGCCUGUCUUUGCAUCUCCUUAGAAAAAUGAAACUUAAAAAGAGCUGCUUUGAAAUCAUUAUUUUAUUAAAAGGAAUUCACUUCUGAGUGGAACAAGAUAAUUUGAAACUAAUUACCAUCUUGUAAAAAAACAGCCAUGCGGUUGCUUGCUAUGCAAAUGCUACACUUGGAAAAAGUAACAAGAAGACCAGGAGAAAAACAAAACAUGAUGUGGGAAGAAAUCUUUUAUGUUGUUAUUUUAAACUUUAGUCACUGUUCUUGUGACAGGGACUCAUUAUAACAGAUGAUACAUAUUGGCUCAGUGGAAGCCAUUAGGGAGAAAUCCAGUGAACUAUCUUCUCCAUUUAUUAUCUACCAGCCAGCAACAUUCUCCAUGGGGGAAGAAAAAUCUAUAUUCACUGUCUGAAUCAUCAGACAGAAUAUUAAGAAAACCAGCAAACAGGAUGCUGGAUCCAGCACUCUCCACAAGUAGCAAUAGUUUGGGAAAGAGAACCAAAAUAUGGACCAUUUGCAGUAUAUUGCGCUGGAUGAUACAAAUUUAUUACAUGCUGAGAAUCUGGUUGAACUGGGAAAUUUCCUGUGUCAGCCACCAACCAAUCAAAACAGGAAGAAUAAUGUAUUGGGAGAGUAUUGUAUUGGAAUGGUCGUAUCUCAGUGAAUAUACUUUGCAUGGAAAAGAUCCCAGGUUCAAUCCAAGGCAUCUUCAGAUAGGGUUGGGAAAUAUUUCUCUCUGAAAUCCUGGAAAGCGGCUGUCAGUCACUGUAAACAUAUUGAGCCAGGUGGGCUAAUGUCUUCAUUCAGUCUAAAGCGGCUUCCAGUUUCCUGGUGCCAUAAGUCACAGUUUGCUGGGACAUACAGGAGCUGUACAAAAGCAUCUGUCAGAGUAUACUGGAUUUGAACUGUGAGCGUCUGGGUACAUGUGCAAAUGGCCAUCAUGGUGAGCAAGAAGAAUGAAGCAGCUUUGCUCUCCAAGGUUCUUCAACCAUCCCAUGCUCUCGUGCUGCUUAAUUCCUCCUCUCUUGUCCUGGAUAUAGAUACUUCCCGCUCAGGCCUGUGUUUUGUGCUUCCCAAGGUGGCUCUCCAUACCAGCAGAAUCACUGUUUCAAACACUCCCACAGUGCUCCUUUCUGAAUGGGAUUCCAAAUACACAUUUGUGAAUAAUGCACAUUGCCAGAAUUCAUUGCACAGUGUUUUUAUACACAUGCAAAAUGUGUAAUUUAGAAAUCUAAAAAUCAUUACCUCAGAUAAGUUUGGUUUAUUUGUCAUCAGACUAUCACCUAGUAUAAGCAAGAAUAACAAAAGGGAACUACAUAGCUAAAUAAAAUUAAGAAAUGUUAAAAUAAAAACAAUUUGCAUAGACCUGAAUAAAAUAAUAUAAAAGCAUAAUCCAACUUAAAAUUAUAUUGAAUAUGAUAAAACUAUCAUGUUUGGUUAGGGCAAGAGAGGGAAGACAACCCUUACAACUGCUUUGUAGAAAAAUGAAGUAUGUUUAUUGUGUAUGGUACACGGAAAUGAACAUUUUAUUUUAUUGUUAUUAUGAAAAUCUUCUGUAUUUCUAACACACACACACCUGUAAAAAAAUAAAUCUGAGUCUCCAUGGUCUGACACAGCAUGACCCUGUAAAACUUGCUCUUAAAAUUAUUUUAACACAACUUAAAUCAGUUCAUACAAACAUGAACAAAAGUAUAUAGAAAUAAUAAUGUAGCAAAAUUCUGAACUUCCCUGGCAAGACACAACAUUCUCUCUUAAUUUUUUCCCCCUUACCCUCAAUUAAGGCAGAUAGAAAAUGUGGCUUUUAUUGUAGUUUGGCUGUUCACAGCUCUUUAUGUGUAUAAAAUAUAUUUCCCCUCUCAUGCUUUUGAAAACCUUAUUGAUUUAGUCCGCUCACAAAAAUGCCAUAACCUUCUAUUUAAUAUCUCAUGCAGCAACAGAGAUCAAGAUUCAUUAUAGAAAAAGAAUUCACCUUAAAUAGUUUUGCACUCCUUUUUGUUUGCUACUUUUGUGUAAGCAAAAUUAAAACAGUUAUCCUUCAAACCUGGGGAUGUAUAUACACACCUAAUAGUUGCUAACCUCUUUGUAAGGCCUUCUAAAAAUGUUUGAUAUGCCUGUGCUUGAUUUCACCCACUCUAUGGCCCUAUUUUGGCCAUAUGGCUAUAGAUUCGUAUAGUGGUUAGUCAAUGUAUAUUCUGGGAUAAGAAUGCAAGACAUCAUGAUGCCAAAGGUAUCUAUGGAAUGGCAUACCAAAUUGUUAACAGGACCAAAAGCAGUGGAAUUUUCUGUUACCUAUUGCCAUGGGUUUGAGCUUUUGUGGAGUCUGAACCCUCACCUUUAUUGAUUGAUCAUACUUUGCUGCCCCUUUAUGAGAAACCAAGUGGAACGUUGGAAAAAUUGGUGGGUAAGGCCUCUGCUCUGUCUGAGGAUGUUUUCUACAAUAAACAUUUGAUUUUCUACAUCUUUUUGCUAGAGCUAGCUAACAGCCAGCAGAAUACAAAUAAGUUGAAUUCAUGUCAAUUCUGUCAUUGCCCCAGCAUGCACACUCUGCACUAGACCUGUCAGUUUAUUGAGAAAUUGAAAUGUGGAAUUAAAGCAGUAUUGAACGGUCAAUAGAGCUCAGUUGCCAGCCUCCCUUUCAUCCCUGCAAAACUUGCCUGUGAGCAACCAUCAGCAUAGAAUUGCUUGCUAAACUCCAAUCCAACUCACAGAUGGUGAAACAGUUGCAGUGCUUCUGUUUCCACAGAGGAAGACCAAGAGAUGAUCACCACCCCAAAGCACGGUUGCAGUUGUCAACUAAGGGAGCAUUUGGGGCUUUCAUCAGAAGGGAAAACUGGGGAAGAUCUGUGCAUUCCUGAUAAGGAAUGGGCAAAUCCGUGUCAGCUUUUGUUUCUCUUUUUCUCCAAUCUCAAGUUCAAUUAUCCACAUUCCCACAUUCGCUUGCAACUUUUUAAAACAACAACAACAUUAUUUAUACCAUGCCCAUCUGGCUGGGUUUCCCCAGCCACUCUGGGCGGCUCCCAACAGAAUAUUAAAAAAUGCGAUAAAACAUCAAACAUUAAAAACUUCCCAAAACAGGGAAUGAAAAUUUCUCCUGAUAUACACAGUUUUGUAUGUAAUUUUACCCAAUGUACAUGUUUUUACAAACAAUUUCCCAUAAUAUAAUGCAAUUUAGAUAUUAUUUUCACUGUAUAUAGAUUUUUCUGCACACUUAGUGUAUGCUUUUGUGUACUUGGCUAGAGAAUUGCAUUGCAAAAUUUGGGUAAGUGUGAAUUUUGAAGGACGGCUGCAUUACAGUUCACAUUAUGUUUUGGGAAGUGCAAACUGGGUAGAUUCACCUUUAAAUAUAAACUGAACUGAAUUUCUUCCCCAUGCCUACUUCUGGUAGAAGUGGGGGCGGGGAUAUGAGGAAAAUAACCAUGUAAACUGGGGCUCUGUGUGUUCAGGCCUUCACAUUUGAGUGGCCACAUCAAAUGUUACAUUGCGUGUGUGGCAGAAGGAAUGCCUGCCCACUUCACCACAGGAAUGCAGUUGUUGGCCGGGAAAGCAUAACUUGAUAACUCGCAUUAAAUGUGAGAAUGUUCUCCACUGACAUGUCAAAUUUCUGUGGUGUUGAUAUCUGAUAGCCCCUUCACAAGUGGAACUCAUCACCUGAUCCUACGGUUAUCAAGUGAUGAACGUGCACAUGUGAAUGAACUCAUAAGUGUUGUAAGUGACCUCUUCAGCAGCCUCAGGGGGCAGGUCUUCCAGGACUCACAGCCAAGCUGGUCUCUGGCCUCCUCAGCAGCUUCAAGUUUUGUAGCUGGAGUCAGUAAGGGUCCCACCCACCCAUGCCGGGGGUGGGGGGAGCCAGCAAGGCACUUUCUGUCUUUCUUUUAUAACAAAAGGCUUUGCCAACAUUCACAUUGGGACAUUCUGUGGCAAAUGAGGAAGUUGCUAGGCUGCUCACUGGCAAAUCUUGUUUUUUUUUAAAAAAAUAAAAGGAAGAUACUGCAGGGGAGGAGAGAACCCUCUGUUGCCUUGUGUUAAUGGCAAAUCCAGUCAUCACCAACUGAUUUCACUCGCUGCAUGAAAACAAACUGUUUUUUCAACCAUUCUUCCCCCACUCCUCAAACAAGUGAAAAUCUGGGCCAAUAUAUCUGGUCCCACAUUAAAUACUUCUUAUUAUGUUUGUUUUAUAUGAUCAUUUCAUAUGCAUUCACACUUUCAACCAUUCUCUUUGCUGGUGAAAUAAGAGAUUAUCCUCUUUCCUGUUCUACUGCUGCAGUCCUGGUGGUGCAAACAACGCUACUGUACACUCGCUGUGAGUUGAGAAAAUCACACUUUUCAGCAGAUACUCACUCCUGUGAAGGAAAUCAAUAUGCCCAGCCUAAGUGAAAUAACUGCUGGCAAUACAGUAAUUAGGUCAUUAAACAGCAAUGGAUAUGCAUUAAGAAGCAACACAGAAUGCCCUCAGCUCUGUUAAAAACAGCACAUGCUAAAACUGGAGGUAGUUAGCAAUAUCAACUAAUUAGAUGCAGAACAAGAGAGAGGAUAAAGAAUAAACUAUUUUUUAAUUGAUAAGGUUCCCGCAAAGCUGUGAGGAGAGAUCACAAUAGCUAGAUUUUUGGCAGUUUGUGAAAUAUCAGCUUUAAUCUCUGAAGCAACCUGCUAUUAAUAGAUGCUAGAAGAAAGAGAUGCUAGAAUAAAUACUCCAAACACAUGGAAAAUACUUCUGAGCUUAAUUAUUAUGAAGGCUAGGUAAUCAACACAGAUACCAUAUCUCUCCAAAACCAGAAAGUAAAAUCAAAAGAGAGAAACGCAAAUCCUUCACUGUUUUCUGAUUAUUUUGAAAUAGCAAAUAAGAUAAUAAGUAGCUGCAUUUUUUAACAAUGCGAGAAGAAAUAUAUUUGCCAUGGGAAGAUACAAAUUGAUCACAUUGCCCUGUGAUACAAUGAGGGAUGGGUUUACCUAUCCACAGCCAGUGGCCAUUCUGAAUUGUUAAACAGAUUUUUUUUUAUCCUAAAAAUGAUAAAUGCAUUUUUACAUGCAUUUUAGCAUUUAUUCUUUAGCUUUGCCAGUGUGGUGUAGUGGUUAAGAGCGAUAGACUCGUAAUCUGGUGAACCGGGUUCGCUUCCCUGCUCCUCCACAUGUAGCUGCUGGGUGACCUUGGGCCAGUCACACUUCUUUGAAGUCUCUCAGCCCCACUCACCUCACAGAGUGUUUGUUGUGGGGGAGGAAGGGAAAGGAGAAUGUUAGCCGCUUUGAGACUCCUUCGGGUAGUGAUAAAGCGGGAUAUCAAAUCCAAACUCUUCUGCUUCUUCUUCUUCAACUACUGGUUGAUUCUACAUUAGAACUGCUAGAGGAAUCUGUCCUUUGCAGGUUCUGAUACUGACCUAAUCCCCACUUUCUACACCUAUGUGUGGAUUUGAAGGUACCUUUAUGCAUUUCGUGGUUGGAGCCUGGAAAACCGCAUGGUCUAAGUCACCCAGUGGGCUUUAUGAUUGAAGUUGGAGUUGAAUGCACAGCACCUUAACCCAGGGCUCUUUUUUAGCCAGAACUCACCAGAACUCAGUUCUGGCACCUCUCAGCUAUGCGCCAUUGCCAUUAUAAGAGAACAAGGGAGGUGUUCAUGGUGAGUUCUGGCACCUCCUUUUCCAGAAAAAUUGCACUGCCCUAACUGCUUCAAAUUCUGUCUACAGCCCCAUUGUAUGAUAGUAGGGCCGAUAUGUUUUCAGCAUUUCCUUUGCAAGUCUGGGCAUAAUUUGAUGUUCCUUGGUCUCUCAAAUUCCUUGUGGCCAUUUCAUGAGCAAUAUUCUUCCCAUUACAGCCACAGCAUUACCAGUGCUAUAAUCUGAACACUCCCUUAUAAGGCGAACUUUUAUAGGGCAAUCAAACAUUUUGUUGAGCUGUUAGAUAUUAUGCUGUAAAACGCAUCCUUAAUUAAUAGAUGUCUGACAGGUUCUAUCUGGUGUAUUUUACAUAUUCACAACCUCUCGGGUUUUUUGGUUUAAUUUCCUGCACGUUAGCAUCAUUCAAUGGGAUAUUAAAAAUGUCCAAUUUAUUUCUCCUGUCAAAUCUACAAAGCAGGAGCAAGUUCUUGUAGUGAUUGUGGUAUCCUGGAAUAAUCUAAUGAUGUUUGUGUCCCCAUUUUAUGCUCUAUAUAGCACUGAGUGUAUGCUGUACGUGAGUGGGUAGACAUGGUUGGAAUGGCAGAUCGAAUCCAAGAGAUUAUUAAAAUGUCCAUCAGACAAUUGAAACGUUUGAAAUCUGCAACAUGGCUCUGAACAAAAAGGGGAGUGGUAACUUCAUCCAGUCACAUCUGGUUCUGUGCCUUCUCUCUAUACUUAAAGGCAGUGAGGUCAUGUAUUCACAGCAGCGACCAGAGAAGAAAGUACUUUUAACUAGUACUUUCCCUAUAUAUAUAAAAUGGAUGGUAUACAAAUACUUUGUGUGUGUGUGUGUGUGUGUGUGUGUGUGUGUGUGGUAUUUGUAUACCAUCCAUUAUGUGUAGCUUUGUAUUUCGCUUUUUAAGAUGUAUAUCCUUUUAAAAUGAACAGUUAAAUUUAAUAAUGAACAGUUAAAGGGGGGGAGUGUGCAGAUGGAGGGGAUUGGUCUACUGAUUGCUGAUGUCACAAUGACAAGUUGCUUGGCAACGACUGCUUGCCAACUUGCCGGUGAGUGGCAGUUGCAGCCCAAUGCGACACGUCCUCUCUCCUCUGGACACACAGCACCAUUUUAGAUUGUUUCCCUAUCUCCUCCGGCCACAAUGGAGGCUCACAGGUUCCUGCCUAACCCAUCCUUCAAAGGAGCCAAUCCGCAGGGGCCGGGGGGGGGCAUGGCCAGCAACUUAGCCUGACUGACCACUCAGCACAGCAUCCAGUCGGCCAGGAGCAUCACCCAUCCCUUCCCCUCCCUUCAUUAAUAGUUGAUUACUGCUCUAACUGUUUCUUUUCAGCUAGCCAGACUUUACUGUGGUCUUCUGGCGGUUGCCGUAUUUGGAGCCGGGAAGUAAUUUCCCCUGCUCUGCAGGUCUCACCUUCCCCAUGGUCACAACUUUGGCGGUUUGGGCCUUAGACGGAAUCCUAUAGUCUUUCAUCCAGCCGAGGUGUGGUGAAGUGGUGACUCACGCACCCCAUUUUCCCUGCGGCGGCAUUAACAGGGUACCUCGUUAGAGGGCUCUGGAAAGAAGUCUCUGUCCAAAGAGCCAAGUGCGUAGGCCUAGUGGACCAUAGAGCUUCCCUCAGGAUUUGGGGGCCAUCUGCGUAAAUGUGCAUUUUGUGAUGGAUCCACCCCCGAAUAGACCCUGUCAUGCCCCAGUUCUCCAGCGGGGGGCAGGCUGAGAGGGAUAAACGCCCAACGCCUUUGCCAAAGCUUCCUACAUCUGAAAUCAAUUAAGUUGUAGCCAUUUAAAUCCCAGACAGUUGUUGUGUCCAUUCAUUUUACCACUCAGAUUCUGCGGCUGGGCACGCAACCGAAGUUGUCCUUUCAGAAUCUGCUACCAGACUAUGCUGUUGUGAAUUAAAACCAUGUUUUACUUCAGUUCCACUUCUCAUGUGAUAUAUAGUCACUGCUUUUCUUCCAUUUGUGGAAAUAAAGUAUUCAUUACCCAUGAAGAAAAUGAUAGUAACACUUAAAAAUUCUGGACAAAAAUGCUCAUCAGAUCUGCAUGGCAGAACUUAAGCUAAGAUGCUGUGUUCUCUGUGUCUUCACAAAGAAAUCAAGGGCAUCUUUAAAUUGGCAGUGAAAGUCAUUAUGCACUGGAAAAAGGGGGAAUGUGGAAAGUUUUUUUCCCUUUCAGGUAAAUUUGCUUUGACAUCUGUGAAGGCCUGUGCUGCUUUUAGACCAGAUCCCCUAGGAUAGUUGGUGUAUUCUGGGUUCUAUCUAGGGUUUGUCUUCUCAAAAAGAAAAAGAAACAAUUUCAUACUUAUACAAAAAAGGGGGGGGGGAAUCAAAGCAUACUAAGCAACAAUAGGAAAUGAAAGAGGCCAGGGAAAGUAUCACGUAAGUGAUUCAUUUAACCUGACCAAAAGUCCAGUAGGAAAGUAAUACAAAACAAUGUAAUUUAAAGGCAAUGUAUGCUAUCUGGAGAAAAUAAAUUAAACUGGAUUCCUAACCUACUAAAUCCAAGCCUAUAAAAUACAGUGAUAAUCACACUGACAGUUAAUUAAGAAGGAGAGCAGUGUAGAGAAGUAUAUCUGAGUCUGUCAGAAGUAUGGACAGUUCCUUUUUGGGUUUCCAGAUAAGUAAAAUGAUAGCUACAAUUCACAGGAGUUUCAGCUCCCCUCUUCCCUUGAACCUGGCAAAUGAACUGUUGCCCCAAAUGGAAAGCAGAUUUCUGCAUCUGAUUGUAAGUUGCUCCAAAGAAGGGGCAGCUCGUCCUGUUUUGCCACCACAGGCAAAACAGGAUAGUGUUGCUGUGCUGCUGAAGUCUCUCUUACCUGGGUUGUGUGGCAUCACCUGUGAAAUGGCAACAACAGCAGCGGGUUUCAGCGAGCUUUCACAAGAUCUCACAGAACUCUCAUGAGAUUUUGUGGAGCUCUUGCUGGAAGCCACUGCUGCUUCUGCACCAGCAGUGGAGACAGUUGGGGUGCCUCUGAGGUCACUGGCCCUUGGAGUUGUGCCACCCAAGGCUUUACACUGCCUCAUGGACCAUGCUCCAAAGAGAUGUAUGUCCAACAUAAAAAAUAUUAAAUACCAGCAUACCAAUGUGUGGAUAGAAAUUACAGUUUCAGCUCUACUGCCGUCUAAGGGUAGACUACUCUAUUUCCGGUUCAUGCCAUUUUUCAUAUGUUAUGCAUAUAUCCAUUCCAUUCUAUUUCCACAUCUUUUUUGGUUUUUAUAUAUUCUGUCUCAACAUUUUUGCCUGCAAAUGUUAUAUUUAUAUACAGUUCUAGAUGUUCAUUUUAAAUAGAUGCAGCUUUUUAUCAAAUAUUAUCAAAUUGGCCUGUAAGAGUUGUGUGGCAGACAGAAAUUAAACAGGCUAAACCUUUUCUAGCAUGGAAAUGCAAUUACGGGGAAAGCUUCACCUGUUGACAUUUUGUAUCAUAUCUAUUUACUUGUGUGUAGUUGUCCUUCACCCCCACCUGCAAAAGAGGACAACUUUUGCAUAUGCAAAAAUUGUGCAAAAUUGUGCCUUAUUGAAUGAGCGCAGCAGAGACCCAAAUCUGCAUAUAGUAUUCUGGGCCCAGAAAUUCUUGGAGUCAACCCUGUUAUGGUGGCCUGUGAUUCCAUACAAUGUUGCACCAGGUAGGCAAUGUCCACUGGUUGAUCCAAUCUUACAUUCUGUAGCCGGCAAUGCAAGCACUAAAGGCUUCAGUAUCUGUAAACUAUGAAGGAUGAACUUUGUAUUAAAUCAGGAAUAGCCGAAAUAGUGAAUUCCAGAUGCUGAUGGCCUCCAAUUCCCAUCAGUCCAAGCCAACAAUUGGAGAUGAUGGGAACGUUAGUCCUGCAACGUCUGGAGGGUACCACAUUGGCUACUCCUGUAUUUAAUCUACAUUGCUGCCUUAUAAGAACACUAGGGACAACUUUCUCUGACUUACAUAGGGUAUUGGCAUGUUAUUGUUUUUGGUAGUAAGUUGCCUGGAAGGUAUAAAUACAUACUUGGCUUGCCUUUGUCUCUCCGUCUGGCAGGUGUUACUUUGUUCUCAGAGAUUUCUUUCCAGUGUUUAAUUAGUUUUGUCAGUCAGCUGUCUCAUAUGGCAUUUCUUGAGUCAUUACAAUUUUUAUCCAAUUAACAGCAAUAUUUUUGAAAGGCAUAAUGACUAGAAUGCCACUGGAGGUAGAAAAAUGACCCCCCUCUUCAGUGUGCAACUACUUCUCUAGAGAAAUUGUUUAUAAAAAACAAAUAUACAAAUAUUUUAUUGUUUCAUUGAAAAUACAGCGGUGUUCCUGUUCAUGAUAGGAAUAGACUAAAAAAUGAGGCAUUUCCUUGUUCCACACAGCCAUUACUAGAGAUGAGUGUAUCAGUUUAUUGGUGGUCUGUGCCAUUUUUGAAUGUGUUUGCCCUUAAAGCUGUUGUGUCUGAUGCAAAAACUAACAACUGCAUAAAAAACCCCUUUUGAAUAAGUAUUUAAACCUGCAUUUCAAAAUGUAUUUUCUCUGAGGUAUUUCUUUCAAAACGCAUAUUUCUAACCUGCUUUUGAGCUGGGAACUACUCCCUCCUAUGUGCCAAGGUUAUUAUGUCCCCCAGAAUAUAGUGAGGAACUGUGAUCCAGGCUCAUAGCCAGAGGGAGACCAAAAAAGUGUGCUUGGGAAGAGUGUUAUCUAGACUGCUGGUCUUUUAAAUACAAAAUUGUAACCUGUUUUUAUCAGUGUAUCCUGUGCUUACAAGUGAUGUAUCAGAAUUUGCAACAGGAGAUUUUCUACAAACAGUGCAAGAUGUCUUGCCACUCCAUGAUUUAAACCAGGAAAACAGGAUCAUCUGAAUAUAGCCAGCCAUUAUAGAUGGCCCUGCAUUUGAUGAAAGACGAGGCUGUGCAGGUUUAGUCUCACCUAAGUCUGUUGGUAUGGUUAUAGCUGAAGUCAGCUGAAUUUCUUGCUAACUUCUCAGAUGUAUCUUCUCUUUCCAAAGCAGCUCUGGGCCUGCUGAUAGUAGAAUCAGUGUUUUCUCCAUUGGUUAAAGGUGCUGCCGCAUUGCCUCUGACAGAAGUUGCUGUCUAAUAUUUAUUUCCAGCAAAGAAACUAAUGAUGGAUAUUUGUUUUGAAGUGUUUGCUUAUGUUUGCCUAUAGUGUAUAUUGUUUUUGAAGUUAUGAUGAUAAUAAUAGUGCUGGUGAAUUGGGUGUCUGCAACUCCCCUAGCCAGGGGAAAUAUAACUCUAUCUCUCCAUCUGAAAAGGCAUAAAAACAUGCCCCCUUGACAAGAGGCAACUCUUUCUGCUGUUGCUUCAGUUAAUUAACUCCUUCCCUGUCAUAGCAAGCGGAAACUCCUGUAUCCCACCUCCCUGCUGCAGCGAUUAUGCUUGAAUAGAUUUCACAGCCACAGAGAAUGGGUGUGUUUGCUAUCUCCUUGGUCAGGUAGGAAAAACCUGCAUCCCUUUUGAGUCCCUGAUUGGUGAUACAUAAAAACAAAUUGACCAAGCCUGUCAAUAUUCCUUCUCUCCAUUUUGACCCAUCUCCUGGCCCUUGUCCAUUUCACCCCCUCCAAAUAAUAGCACAUGUAUCUUUAAAAAGAAAAAGAAAUCAUUUUCUGUUGCUCUCUAAACUUUCUGUAGUAAAUUUUAAGUAUUUGUUUGUAGAAAAAGUUAGAAUAGGGAGGGCAUAAAAAUGUCACAUAUUUGUGAAAACAACAUAUGAAAAUGCAUUUUAUUAGGGGGAAUUGCUUUGCAAAAUUUAUAUAUUAGGGGAAAUUGCAUACAGUGGUAGCUCGGGUUACAGACGCUUCAGGUUACAGACACUUCAGGUUGCAGACUCUGCUAACCCAGAAAUAGUACCUAGGGUUAAGUACUUUGCUUCAGGAUGAGAACAGAAAUCGCGCGGUGGCGGCGUAGCGGCAGCAGGAGGCCCCAUUAGCUAAAGUGGUGCUUCAGGUUAAGAACAGUUUCAGGUUAAAAACUGACCUCUGGAACGAAUUAAGUACUUAACCCGAGGUACCACUGUACAAACAUGUGCAUAUUAGGAGAAAUUCACUGCUGAAUUGUUAGGAGGACUUUAAAAAAGUAAAUCACAAAUUGGUGUGGAAAUGUUUAAAAGCUAAAGAUGGGAAAAUGAGAAACUGAUAUUGACAGAAUUGCCCAUCUGUAUUUCUGGGUUACAACCCAGUUGUAAACCAGGAAAGUAAAUGCCUUACAGGAAUAAGUAUAGAGGUAAAAGGGAAGGGAGAAAGAAAUUUGCACAGUAACCAGAGGGAGAGUUAAUUGGUGAGAAGAGGUUCAUCCCUCCUAUACCAGGAGCCAGAGACUUGCUAAUAUCUAUCUGGAGGAAUAAGGAGACUUUAGGGCUCCAGGCUCAUGAGAGCUUGGCUACUCUCAUCUGUGGGAGAUAUCAGAACAGGAAGGAUGCUGCAUAUUUAUACAUCAAACCAAUGCAAGUUGUAUGAACUAAAGCAGCACAAAUUUGAACGGAAGCUAUAGUGAAGAGAAAUCCUCAGAGAAUAGUACACAAUGAAUUCUGGGGAAAUAAAUGUUUAAGUCCUUAAAGAUUCUGUAACUAGAAACAAGUUUAGAAAGUGACGCCAGUGGAGCAAUACAUCCAGAAAGAACCAGGGCCAGAAAACAAAGUUUGGUAUCACCGGCUUUGCUUCUUCCUUUGCUUUAUUCUUCUCGCAAUGCUUAGUUAAUCGAGGCACAUCAGAAAUGCUACAAAAGAAAUAAUGAUACAGACAGCAGUAGAAAUAACACCCAGUUUUUCAUUUUCUGUAAUGGGACUUUGAUAAUAAUAUAGCAUUGUAGUUGAUUCACUGUAGUGACUGGAGGCAAACUCAGAAAAGGAAAAAUGUUUCUUUAAAAGCUUUCUCCAUUCGAAGCUUUUCAUUUUCCCAGGACAAAUGGAAGAACUGAAUUGCACAAAGAGCGUUGUGUCAUGAGUUUUACAGUCAACUCUGAAAUUAGUCCUUGGGGUUUGAUAAAUGGAUUAGUAAUGCCUUAGAUCCAGGCAACUGUGUGGUUAGUUCAAUAUGCAUAGCCACAACUUGUGUAGCUAGCCACAUCAUAUAACAACAUCACCUUACAUAUAUAACAAUUUAUUAAUGUUCAGUGUUGUCAACGUGCUUUUCAGAAACAAAGGAAGAGAACACUAGGAAUGGAUAAGCGUAUUUCCAUUUCAGUCGCAGAUGUGUUUCACCUCAUUUCUGCAUUAAUUGUUAUUAUUCUUUUAAAAAAAGAACAACCAUCCCAAAAUGAAAAUAGGAGUUUAACGUGUACUUUAUCACAAAAUAUUUAUUUAACAGCAGCCCCAUCCUCCAUCAUAUGCUAAAGCAAAUGACUUUCGAAACUCUGAGGAAAGCUCUUUCUGGGCUGACAAGCAGAGAUGCUCAUCUAUAAGAUAUGAACACCAUAGCUUGAAUGAUUUGGAAACGGUGAGGCAGGCACAGCCUCCUUUGAAUACCCAGGUGCACAUACCUGAUUUCCCCUAUGCACGUUGAAUGCAAGCCACUGCUGCCUUCUCCUUCCCCAGGCGAGAGAAAGAAGAAGAAUUAGCUUUUUCAGAAUGUGGUAGAAGUGGUGGCUCUGGCUGGGCUCAUGGAAUGUCUAUUUCUUCUGAGGAUCCUGGGAUCCAUAACAUGCAAGUUCUAGUUUAAAAAAACAAAACAAACUAUUGUGGGUCAGAAUUAGAUCAAAUUUGUAGAGAAGGUUUGCUAACUCUGAAAGAAUGGAUCAUGACAAAUUUUGAAGGAUAGCUGCAGUGGUUUUAUUUUGCACUUUUGGAGGGUGAAUGAGAAUUAUGUACUCUCCCUAAAUGUUUUGGGAGAAUUUUGGUCUGAAAAUUGCGGAAUUAAGAGAGGUGCCACUGCGUAAGAAAUCUUCCAGAUUUCAGAUAAAUAGUUCCAAGGGCUUUAGUGCUAGGUGUCAUUAAAGAUAGACCCCACCCAAUGAAGCUGUCUAAAAUGUGUAUGUGUGUACAAAAUCGAGUGACAUUUGUAGGCAAAGUCAUACCUUCCAAUGGGUGGAAUCCUUCUAAAUUCCAGGAUGGCAACAGCUGUUUCCCCACAAGCACAGUCUUUAUAGUUGUGUGGUGGGUAAGACAGGAAACAAUCUCCCCCUUGUGUUUUCUGGGCAAUUGGUCUCAAAAUUGCAGACACAAGAAAGGCGCUUCUGUGUAAGAAGGCUUCCAAAUUGUAGUUAAAUACAUCCUAGACCUUUAAAGUUGAAUUUUUUGGGGGAGAGAAGUGGAAGAACUAAAAUGCAUUUGCUUUUUAGGUAAAACUAUUCCUCAGAUUACAGGUUUGAACCAUCAAUCACAAUAACUGUCCUCCGGCCCUCUUCCCAGGCUGGUGUUUGCUGUUCCUUCCCCGAUUGCUUAACUCUGGCAUUUUAGCUAUAUGAUAAGCUUACAGACAUUUAGCUAGAGCUAAACUGAAUGAUGACAGAGCUGUUGAUUAUCAAGUCACCCAGACUUUCCCAGGACAGCUUUGGAGUGGCUGGCUUGAGAAUUACAUCUUUAGGAUGCAGUUGCCUAACAUCUGCCACCAUAAGAUUCUUAAAGGAGCAGUCUCUUUCACAUGCAGAUAUUGGCAGCCAAAAUAUGGUGUAAAACACACUUCUGUUUUUCUCCAGAAAUGUGUGCCAGAGCUCUAAGAUUCCAUCUAAGACAGAGUUUCCCAAACUUGGGUUUCCAGCUGUUUUGGGACUACAAUUCCCAUCACCCCUGAUCACUGGUCCUGCUAGCUAGGGAUGAUCAGAGUUGUAGUCCAAAAACAGCUGGAGACCCAAGUUUGGGAAACCCUAAUCUAAGAGGUGGUAGUGUAGUGAGUGGCUUGUACUUAAGGUAUCCUGAAGAGAGAGUUUCGGAGAUCACCAAGUGAUAGGCAAGGAAGAGUGGUCCUGUAUGAGAGACCCAGUUUUGCUUCCCUUGCAUCCCCCUGUUCUACUUGGCUGAAGUCUAUCAUAUGUCAUGUUCUUUGUUUAUCAUUGUAUCAGAGAAAUAAAAUGAUGGUGCAAAAUGCAGUAGAACAACAUUGUGAGUUACGGUAUCUACACCCUCCAUAUGAGCACAGAUUAUACAUUCCAAAUUAGGAGCAUUUCUUCCUCCCUGCUGCCUCAAAGACUUCCACCUACACUUGCUUGCUUUAGCCAAUUUUCCACUGUUCAAGAAACGAGGGGGAGUUGGAUGUUUGGCUAAAUUACAGUUCUAAGCUAAUCCUUUUGGAACAAAACCAUUCAUUCUCGUGUUGUGCAAGAGAGUAAAAAUAUAACAGGAGAUAGGUGCAUUAAUUUUUGCCUUACAAAAUGUUCCAGAAAGAUAAAAUGCUAUUACCCAAUGAGUUUUAAAAAGCACCUCUGCUGCUGCCACUGGUGAAUUAUUACUACUUAGGAAAAUCAAUAAUGACAUUUGAUUUUUCAGGACAUUUGAGAGCCUGGAUGAUCCACUGUUUAAAUACAGAAAUCUGUCUUACUUGAAGUCAUUAAUAGCGAGAAAUGUCAAGCAAAGUACUUUGUAGUCAAGGAGAAAAAUGAGCUUUAUUUUAAAGUCUGGGAUGACAGUAUACCAUACAGGCCUGACACCAGAUGUUUGUGGAUUUUACACAUUCACAUACCACAAGGUCCACUUUAUCCCCUCCCUCCUGGCAACAUUUCACUUCUUGGUAAUAAUGCUUCUUAGACCGUAAAUUCUCUAUGUUAUGUUCUGCUUUUUCUCUCAUUUUCCGCAUUAUUGUUCACAGUUCCAAGGGGUGAAUUUAUGCCCCCUUCAAGCCUUGGUUAGGAAUUCAGAUCUGUCACACGUCAAGGGUCAUGUCAGGGAGGGUGAGGGCACACAGCUAAGCCCCACCCAUCCAGCACAUCGCUCUCAUCCAGCCAUGCAUGAGUUUGAGGGUGGAGGUCUGCAAUUGUUUUCUUUGGAACUUGAGAGUUCACCUCAGGCUGGACCCUGAGUGCUUAAGGAAUCUCAGUGGAUGUUUAGCAGAAGUUUCUUUGUUAAAUGGUAAAUGUGGCUGUAUUGUAAACCUGUAGAAUGUUUGCAUUAAUUUAGCAGGAAAUGCAUGGUGAGCUAAGAAUUAUGGCAUGUUUGCUUGUUAUUUUUUGCUUCAGAGCAUUUGAAUUCUGGAGUAACUCCUGUAGCUGAGAGGGGUGCAUAGAAUAUGAAUUGUUGUAAGUUUCCAGGCACACCUUUCCCUCACAAUUUUAGGCAUUUAUUUAUUUCUCCUUGAUUUCCUACCCCCCUCCAAGUAGGUCCUAUUGAAUUCAACCAGUAAACGAAAGUCCCUUGGUCCUUGGCUCUUAGCCCCAUUCUCUUCACUUUAUGUAUUCUUCAUUUUGACAAUCUGUUUCUUCUUUUGAUUUAAAGUAUCAGUGUUAUGCUGUCUCCCCCUGUUCUUACUCAUAUUUCCAAUUGUCCUGUGGGCUAUAUGUGAUUGGGUAUGCAAACAUAAACUCCAACUUAAUAUGCAGAUGACAGAAUUUAUUAUGCAUCCUCUAAAUCUUUCAUUUCAGCUGUCAACAUCACCCUCCAGCCUUUUCAACAAAUUAUGAAUGUGGACACUAUCCUUGAUCCUUCUCUUUGGCUUUCAGCUCAUGUUAUUGCUCUGAGGUCUGCUAUCAUGUUAUCAGCUAAGGUCUGCAAAGUCCUUCUGUCACAUACGUUCCCAAAAUCUGUCCUUUUUAUCUACUGACUCUUAGUAGAUUCUUAUUCAUACCUUCAUUCUAUCAUAUUGACUUACGUAACAUUUUGUGCAUCAGUCUUCUUAUCUCUCAGCUUAAGUCUAUUAUCUCUGUUUUCCUCUGAUCAUUUAGUCUGCAAUCCUACACCUCCUUCCCUAGGAAUAAGCCCCAAUGGAUCUCAGUGGGACUUAUUUCUGAGUAGACGUCCAUAGGAUUGCUCAUCAAACACUAAUCUCCUUAUAAACCUCCUUGCAGUUUCUUGUCUCCUUGCAUUUUUCCUUGUGACAAGCUGAGCUGAAAGUGUCGCCUAACCGUCGCAGCACCAUUUUGUGGCUGCAACAGUCAGGAGCUACUUUCAACACCUUUCAGGUGGGCUGGUGAAUUCUUUAAGCUUUGGGGCACAGAGAAUUUACAUUUAUAAUAUCUAGGAAUAUCUCAAAACAAGCAGUGGUGGUAGUCCUGGGGCUCUCCAGCACCAUGCUGACCGACAGACUUUCCUCUGUGGAAAGUCACAUUGUUGGCAGAAGAAAAUGGCUGCCCUCAGUUCACACUUCCACUUGUCCUGUCCUUUUAGGCAUGGGUCUGAGUGGUUUUGACUUGGCCCAUCACACUUCCCCCUGAAGAACCUGCUCUUUAGUGCUGAAUCAGAGCAACCAGCAACUCAAUUGCCAUUUGUUCUGAUUCAGUGCUAAAAAUUGGAUUUCCUCAGGAGAAAGUGGCGAGGCAAACAGAGGUGUGGAUAAACCCUUAAUUUGCUUAAUCCUGUUUGUUUGUUUUUAUUAAUACAAUUAUAUCCAAACUUUCCCCCAAAGAGAUCUCUUCUCUGUGGGGUAGUUCAAGCUGGAUUGUUGUUUUUCUGCCACUGAAUGAACAAUCAGCUUGGUUUUUACAAAGAGCUUUGUAUUGCCUUCAGCCCAGUGAAUUCGUGGGUUAUGGACUCCGUCUCACUGAUGGGUGGUGUGAAUCAAUUCAGUUCCACUGUAGUGUGUGAAGUAACUCACUUUGGUGCCAUUUUAGGGCAAAACCCUAAUACUACCAUUUGUCUGUCGGCUGCUAUGUGCUUCCAGUCUUCUCGUGUCAGUAGCCUGGAAUAAUUGUCUGUUUCACUGAUUUGAUAAAAAUGCAUCAUCUUCUGUUGGUGCCACUGGUUAUGAAGCAAGGAAGAAAAGUUUUAGAGGUCACAUUUGAUGAAUUAUGUAGGCUUCUUACACAGUCACAUAGUCAUUUGACACCUGUGACCUACUUAAACUACGGAAAAUCCUGUUAGAGCAAUUGCAGAUUUGGAGUGACACACGAGUAAGUAGCUCACAGAACUUUAAAUAAUGUGACCUUAAAAAAAAAAGGAAAUGGCUGGUUUUUCUAGCCUUGAAUUAAUUUUACAUUAAACUGGCUGAAAGAACAUGGACCUACUUUUGCGGCUCUUUGCAAGCACUUAAGGAGAGCAUUUCUGGGCAAUUAUAUCACUUUGUGCAGUUACUUUGAUAUGGCCAAGCUUAAUGUGAAAUGCAAUUGUGUGCAUCUUCUUUCUCCUGAUAGUUUAAAAGGAAGAAGCCAUAAGCAGCUUCAGCAUGUUGUAGAGUUAGAGCUGAAAGUGUGUGUGUGUGUUCAUUCUCUUGAGUUGCUUCCCACUCAAAGUGCCACACCCAAGUUGUUUUUCUCUCUACAGGCUAAAGAUAUGGAAACCCAUAUUUUUUCUCCAUGGGAGGGAAAACAUUCUUGGAGGGAUAAUUUUAAGCAGAAAUUCUGCCACAAGGAACCUAGCCUUCUGCUAUUCCUCCAUUCAAACUCACAGUCCCUGAGACUGCAUUAUAACUAGCCAUGUGCUGGACCUUAGGAGAUCAGAUUUACCACGUACACCGAUGGCCGCUAUGUAUUUCAUCUUGAGAAACAAAUAAAUGAGUAUCUUUGUGAUAGUAAUGCCUUAUUUUAUACAAGGCAUGAACAGCUUCUCCCAUCAAGAUGUCAGACCUUCCAAGUGUCCCUGUUUUCCAGGGACAGUCCUGGAUUUACAGAUGCUGUUCUGGUUUCUGAUGUGAUCCUGGAAUGCCCCACUUUUCCCUUAGGAUGUCCCUAUUUUCUUCAGAGAAAUGUUGGAGGGUAUGGAGUUAUCCGACUCCCAAGCCAACUGAAGGCAGCCAUCUAUAGGAAAGGUUUUCUUUAAUGUUUAAAGUUCUCUUACGUUUAUAUAAAUGUUGGAAGCUGCCCAGAAUGGCUGGGGCAACCCAGUCACAUGGACGGAGUAUAAAUAGUAAAAAAAGGUUGUUGUUGUUGGCACCCCUAUUUUCAUCAGAGAAAUGUUGGAGGGUAUGAGAUGCACAUACUAAACAGCUGUAUAUUGGGGUCUGCCAGGUGCUUGCACAUUGUUUAUUUCCAUGCUGUGUGCUGUUCCAAUCACUGCGGCAGGCAGGCCUUUCCCACCCCCCUGAGCAACCAGUAACUUUAAUGGAGGGGUGGGAGGGAUGUAAUUCAAGCAACUGCUGCUACAUUAGCAGUAUGUGUAGGAAAGGAAUAGCUGGCAAAGAUAAUUGCAUGUUCAGACCCAGAAACCUCCUCCCUAAAUAAAUUCACUUGACUCAAAUUUUAGUUUUGGUUUUUGGCAGAAUUUAGGCCACAACUUUAUUGAUUACAGAAAGUGAGUGGUUGCAUAGGCUCUGGUUCAACUAGCUCCCUGCCAUGCAGGUAGCGCUGACCCAGGGUUCCAGCAUAGGUCAGCCAAGGGUGAACACCUGGAUAAGCAGAAAGCCGGGAACAGGCUAUCUCCGCCACCCAAAUGUCCCCCUCAACUCAGGCAUGGGCACAACCCCCUCUCAGGGGUUGACCAAACCAUUGAGUCCCUGGAUUCCUUUAACGGAAUACCCUUCACAUACGGAUGGCGAGAGCAUUCUCCCCUCCCUAUCACCUGAACCAGAGCCUAUCCACAACCUUACAAGUUGUGACGAUUUGCUAUGCAGCCGGCGAAACCCAAAUGGCAACAGCCAAUCAGCCUAGUGGGGCAAAUUCCUGCCGUGCCCCUGUCCCAAUGACAGACGACACACAACAGCAUAGCAAGGUCAAGCACAAAAGCCCUAAAAGUAGGGAGAGGUGGGCGGGUGUUCUGAAUGCACACACCGAAAGAGGAAGCUCUGGGUCACAUGCAUCGGCAUAUAUAGGUCUAAUAAUAAUAAUAAUAAUAAUAAUAAUAAUAAUAAUAAUAAUUUAUUUAUACCCCGCCCAUCUGGCUGGGCUUCCCCAGCCACUCUGGGCAGCUUCCAACAAAAUAUUAAAAUACAGUAAUGUAUCAAACAUUAAAAGCUUCCCUAAACAGGGCUGCCUUCAGAUGUCUUUUAAAAGUCUGGUAGCUGUUGUUCUCUUUGACAUCUGGUGGGAGGGUGUUCCACAGGGUGGGUGCUACUACCGAGAAGGCCCUCUGCCUGGUUCCCUGUGACUUGGCUUCUUGCCAAGUGAGAGAACUGCCAGAAGACCCUCGGUGCGGGACCUCAGUGUUUGGGUAGAACAAUGGGGGUGGAGACGCUACUUCAGAUAUAAUGGACUGAGGCCAUUUAGGGCUUUAAAGGUCAGCACCAACACUUUGAAUUGUGCUCGGAAACGUACUGGGAGCCAAUGUAGGUCUUUCAAGACCAGUGUUAUGUGGUCUCGGCGGCCGCUCCCAGUCACCAGUCUAGCUGCACCCCAUUGGCCAGAUUAAACCCAGCAUCGAGGGACCUACCAAUCAGGUGUUGUGGCUGACCAAUCUUAUCCACCCACAACACAGGGUAUCGGUUUCCAGGUCUCACCACAACUCGUGCCCUCUUUAAGGGAGGACACAAUUUGUGAAUGGAGCACUGGUAUUGGAACAGCAUAAGUGAACUGGAUGUUUAGCACUGGGCACUUUGGGUGACCUGUGGCAUUAUGCUUCCCCCUGGUCUCUGUUUUCAAUUUAACAUGGUACACCAGCCGCUUGGAAGGCUGCGAGUCUCAAUCCGAAAAGCAUCUCUGCCUUUGACUCUGCCUUUGAUAAGGGCAUUGCUUUGGGCUCACUGUUCAGCCAACUGUGUGUGCAGCAAGAAUCAGUGCUCUGCGCUGUGACCUUGGUGUAUUUGACCUGGGAGCCCCGGAGAGAUGUAAAGGAAAUAAACAGAAAACCCCAAAUGUGUGUGUGUGUGUGGCUGUGCUGAUCAGCAGAAAAGAUGAAUGAAUAUGCUGCAAGGUUGAUCAAUAUUUUAGUUCUAUUAGCAGUUCUCCUUUUGCGUGACCCCCAGACUAACAAAGCCAUGUGGCUCCUUUUUUCCGGCGCCUCUUUGUACUGUGACACAGUGCCCUGCCACCUUUAAGGAAAUAGGAUUCCUUGUAUUAGUUGUCGCCAAUAAACCUAGCUCAGCUGUCAAGAAAGACAGAUUUUUCCUAUGUGCUUUAUGUCAUGCAGAGUUUGUAUUAGGCAUUCUGUGUUUAUUAGGUGUAUGCUUCUUCAGGCUCUGUCUUCAGAUGUCCCUUCAUGUAAUUAUGGUUGGUUUUCUGGUCAUAAAUAAGGCUUACAUGGGAACAGAAGGCAAAGGGGAAAUAUAUGUAUGUGAAGAAUAUGGUCUCUCCAACCAUUUAUCAUUUCAUACAGCAGUUAUUCUUUGAGUGCCAGUGGCAUUUGUGUGAGAGGAGGAGUGUGGGGGGGGGGGGAGAUGAUUGUGAACUAGUACUCACUUCCCCUAUAGUAAGUAAUAGAAUCAUAGUUGGAAGAGACCAUGAGGAUCAUCUAGUCCAACUCCCUGCAAUUCAGAAAUAUUUCAACCAACAUGGGACUCGAACCCACAUCCUUGAGAUUAAAAGUCUCAUGCUCUACCAACUGAGCCUGUUUCAGUCCCAUUAAGUGGUGAAGAAGAACUGUGAGAUGCUGAUGGGGUCUGUUAACCCCAUUCCAGAGAUCUGUAGUUCUGACAUCUGCGCCCCUAAAUGGUCUAAAAGAGUAUACUUCUAGAUGGACCAUCUCUCACUGGUAGAGAACAUACUUUGAGGUCUUAACUUAACUGAAGCUGCAAUCCUGCACAAAGAUAUUUUCAAGAAAGCACCAUGGCAAUCAGUGGGGCAUGAUGCUGAACGAAUCUGUGUAGGUGCAUAUACAGCCUCAGGCAGACUUGCUAUGACAUAUUCUCUUGAAGACAAUUUGGUUCCCUGAAGAAUUUCCAUUUCCGAAAAAUCUGCCACAACUCAAUUGGAAAUAAUAGAGCAGACUUAUCAUAAAGUGUGUUUAAAAAGUAAGGAAAAUGACAAACCCAAGUGUUUCUGACGUGGUGAUUAUUAGCAUCGAUUAUGAUUUUGUAGUAACAAUAAUGUGAGACAUACAGAAAGAGGGUCCACCCUCCCUGCAUAGUCGGCUAUGAGUCACAGAGAAAUGAAAUUUGUAAUACAUAAGGCAUUAACUUUUAUUGAACCAAUCAUUCAAUGUAAAAAGCACACAGCCUUGUUUGCUGCCUGCAUAUCACUCUGAAUUGGGGAAGUGUCCAUUUCCAUCCUGAAAUGCCAAUCUGUAUCUACUUGCUACUCUCUGGUGGCAAUCAAGUCUCAGACUAUUUUGCUUUUGUUUUCCCCCACCAGGCCAUUUUAUAUUAUACCCAGCACUCAGUGCUUCCAAGAGUAAAACUUAAAUCAAUGUGGAGAGCUUGCAUGCUGCACCCACUGUAGUGUAGGUUAGUGCCUAAGGGCCAAACUACACAUUAUGUUAAAUGCAUGACCAUAUUUCACGUAUCUACAUUUUGUUUUUUAAAAUAGCAGCUGUUGUGGGUUAAAUUUUUUCCUUGAGCUUUGGUGUCAAUGAAAAUUACCAUCUGCAAGCAGCUACUGUAUAUGCUCUGUAGGUGAAGCUUCUAUUUGGCACCAGUGAGUUUCUCAAGUCAAAUAAUCUCUCUGCUGUUGUAUUUCCAACAGAGUGCAAGGUUGCUGUUGCCUUUACCCCAUUUUCAAGGGGGCCAAAGGGUGUUUGCAAGCAUCUUUGCUUUAAUUCCACAAAUCAUCUCUCUGCUGGUUUGUGUAAGGAUAAAUGUUAAUAUACCUUUAGACACACUUCCCAUAUCUAGUUUAGGAAGUUAGGGCCGAGGAGGAAGGGAUAGAAGCAGGAGAAAGUUGCCAAAGGAGAGGGGUUAUGUUGUACAGAGUUCUAUAAUCAAGUAUUUCUUGUUCAACCAGCCUCCCUGACUUCCCAUGAUUCAAUUGAAGCUUAGGGAAAGAUGUCAUGAGGUCAGUUCACCCAUGAAUUUUUUUGUGAUCAGGAAGCACAGGCAGUUGGGGAAGCUGUAGAGUAUAGGAUAAAUGUUUAAUGGCAAGAUAAACAAGCACCACACCCACAGCCAGCUUGCAGCAAGAAGGUAAUCUCACCUUUGCCCCCACUAACGUUCUAAAGAAUUAUUUUAAGUGCCUUGAGAAUUGGACAGAAAAAUGGAAGCUUCUUUUUGAAUUGGAAGAAAACUUUUAAGAAAUUGGAGAACAGGUUUGAGCACAGUACUAGCUGAAAUCUAACCCCUGCCCUGAACUUAAUAAUUGGACUUAGAUAGCCAUUCUGUGUUAACUUCACUCCUAAAUUGUCCCCUAUUGGCGUAAUAAUACUGAUAUCCUCUGCCUUCAAAACUCUCUGCCUUGCUUACUGAACGAGGCCCACUCAGCAUGCCAGCUCUGGGAGGAUAAGGACGCUUGUGUAGAGGCAGUUCCAAGGGGGGUGUUUGUCAUAUACGUGGUUUUGCAUAUACAUGGAAUGCAUGAUGUGAUGAUACUGUAUUGUUGUUACCCUUGUUGAACCUAGACAUCUUUCUGUUUUGCAAGGUGCUGAAGGUAAUGCAUGCCAGUCCUUAGGAUUUGCUGAUGGUGUCAGAUACAACCUUCUUUCCAGAUCCACCUUUAGUUCCAACUUUCAACAAGUGAUUCCCCUUCCUCCUUUGCAGUCUUCCCUUUUCUUUUCCCAUUCUGCAAAAGUGCCCGGCAGCUGCCAUUUUAGAUUGCCUUCUCUUGCCCAACACUACUUUCCUUGUGCAAUCUUUUUUCCUUUGUGUUUCCACUUUCCCCCCUAUCAAUCUUUUAAAAAAAGACUUACCAAAGGGUAGGGGGACUGUAUGGUGGUAAAGCCAUUUUUGCAACCCAUCUCCUAUCACGGUGCAACCAAGCGGUGAGUCAUGUCAAUGGGCAUCUAUUUCUUUCAGCAUCUAGUUUUGUAAAAAUGUGCUGCAGGCAGGACUGAUACAGGUGAAGGAAGCUUAUGUGACUUGAUGGCCAUAUCUCAAAAAGAUCUGAAAUUUAAACCUGCCAUAGUGAAGUUACACUCUCUCUGCCUCGGAUCGGCUCUGUGAGAGGGUGUUUAGUGUGUAGCUCUCAUUAGGAUCAUCCAGCUGUCACACAAAGGAGGUGUUUUGCCACUAGCAGUUUUUGUUCAAGUGAUGCAUGUUGUCUGUUGGUGUAUCCAGAUGAACUCAGCAUCUACCUGGUGAAUCACAGCAAAUGUUCGCCAGACUACUUAUAGGCAGGGGCAGCCUUUCAGGUUUCCUUAAUUGGGAGUAGGAAGAGAUUUUAGAAUAAAUGUGGGAUGGGGAGCAAGAGACACAGCAAUAGUGAAAUGCCUGCAUUUUUAAAAGCAUUUGUUGUUUAUUUUUAUUUUCUAACUCCCCCCGCCCCCAAUUCUUCUUCUGUCAUGGAGCCCAUAGAAGUGUACAUGUGGUUCCCAUCCAAGCACUGAUCAGACGCAGCUUCAUGUGGUUUUAAGCCAUAACCUGGGACUUCAAAAUAGCCACAUUUAUGGUGGUGUUGAAGGAAACAAAAACCCCUCCAUAUGGCUUGAAAUGGGAUAGAGCAACUACCUACACCCACUUGGCUUCCCAAAAUAGUGCCUUGAGAAUUCUGUGGCCAUUUCUAUUUUAGGUAGAAGUAGCAAGUCCCUUUUUAAAAGUGACCUAUGCUAGCAUGAAAGAGCAAGGAAAUCCAGAGGAAAUUGUAGCAACAAUAGACUAGUGGUGGCUGGGGACCAUCAAGACUGUUGGGGCAGAUUGCAGGGAGCCCAAGCAGCAGGCAGAGCCCAAGCCAAUGACAGGUUGGUUUUGUUUUUUGCCCCCAGCCUCCUCUCUGCUGAGUUCUAUAAAGACAACAUUGAGACUACAGAGGAAGAAGUCGACUGGUUGUGCAACCACCCCCCGGAUUGGUUGUAAGUAAGAUGGCAGACAGGUGGGGGCUGGGAGAGGGCAGACUGAGGCUGGUGGGGCAGUGCCCCACUUGCCAUAACAGACCUGGCUCCACUGCAACAGGCUAUAGGAACAAAAGUCAUCCUGGGCACCCAUCUCCUAUUUUCCCCAUCUAUAAUUAUCUAAAUUGAUCGUAAGGCAUUCUGCAAGCAGUAUUGCUUCCAAAAUCUGACAGUAAAGUUUGGUCACACCAAUUUAUAGUUUGUUCCAGGCCUCCAUUGGUAUUAAAUUACCUAGUUUCAGAUUUGUAUCAUUUUAAUUUGA